UUUUUUUUUGUAAUAGAAAGUAUUUGUCAUAUAAAAAUGGAAUGUUGAGAAAACUUAUAAAAAUAUUGUAUAUCCUUUUAAAUAAUUUAACAAAUUUUAGCUAAUUAUACAAUCAAGAAUUCCACUAAUUUUUUUUUAUAAUCAAGAAUGUCUCAUCAUCAUAUGAGUAAAAAAAUUAAUUUAUUUGAGGUAUAUGAUUAUUCUUCAUAAUAAAUAUUAUUUAGAUGAAUCAAAUUAUUAACUUUUUGAUCGACAUCUGAUAACCUUAGCUUAAGCUCACAAGUCUUCAUUUACAUUCUCUAUGUUAUAAGCUAUUUUUGUCAAAUAAACCAACAUUUUGUCAGCUAGUAUUACCUUGAGUCUGUCCAUUAUGCCAUCUAUCUGUUGUAAUAAAAAAUAUGUCAUUUCAUGUACUACUGUUUAUGAUUGGUUAAAAAAUGUAUAUAAAUUAAAAUUUUAAUAAUUAAAUAUUUUUUUGACCAAUCAUAAAUAAUGUCACAUAGAGUGAUACCCUAGAGAUGUUCACCCACGUUCUAUCUAAUAAUAAUGGCAGUUUGCUACAAUUGUGGGCUGCAUUUUUUUGGGCUUUGUGCUAAAAAUAUUUUAAUCCCAAAAGCUAUUAUUUGAAUAAAAAUCAGUUCUGGCAUUUGGUGUUUGGUUGGGCUGCUCCAAAAGAAUACAUCCCUCUCCUACGCCAGAUAACAGCCCUUAUGUUGAAGCACCUGAAUAGAAUAUUGUUACUUCAAGUGGUAUAAAAUCCUAUUAGAUUUUCAGGAUAAUUAAAAGAUCAAAAAUUUGAUUUCUAAGAGCACAAUAUCACACCUUAAAAAAAAUUAGUUUCUUACCCAAAAAAAUACGAGGAAACCCAAAAAAUGUGUCAAAGAUUCAGGGAACAGAUUUAAUAAAAGUUGUCUCCUAACUAAAGCCAAUCUAUAACUUUAUAUAAACAAAUAUACUCAUUGUCAUUUUAUUUUUAAGUUAAAUAAUUGUAGUAUAUGGUACAAUUCAAGGUCAAAUAUGUAACAUUUUCCAAAUAAGUGCAACGCAUUCUUAUGCUCUUAGCAACAUAGGAAGAUGCAUGCUCUAUCAUACGGAUUUGUUUGUCCCUAAAAGAACAUUCUACCUUAGUUCAGUGUCAUUCUAGGGAUCCUGUCAUAAUAAUAAUGGGUUCAUAGGGGACUUUGAAGGUUCUAAUCAAUCUCAACCAUUCCCCCUCAGCUUACUGGUUUGUGUUCAGUUUGCAUGAUCAGUUCAAUCUUACAAACUGCACCAAAACGAGUUGAUUGAACUGAUCAGGUAAUGAGUAAAACCUUAAAACAUUGUUAUUAUGAUAUGGGAAAAGUAAAGAGUUACAAGUGAGAUAUCGCGUCUUGAAUAAAAACUUUAAGACAAUGAUUAUAUGAGACUUUUUCGUUUAUAAACUAUUUUAUUUGUCACAUCAUAUCUAACAUGAUAUUUUACACGUGAGUAAACCCAAUAAUCUCCCCUUUAAGUCUGCCAUGUCAAAAUUGAACCAUCACAAGUUCCAUUGCUACCGUAGUAUGAGAAAAAUAGAGAAUAUAUGAGAGAUCAACCAAAAUCUUAUGACAAUGAUUUUAUAAGUCUUUUUUAUUUAUAAAUUUUGUUAUUUUAUGUUAAUAUAUGAUUGACUUAGGACAGAGGGUGUGACACCGUUGGAAACAGUGAUUCCCAUCAGGAAACAUUAGUCCAUGCAUCGACACUCGUGACUCCCAAGACUGAAGCAUAUUGCUAAAUUAAAGCCUAUAGUACUGCUAACCAAUUAAUUACUUACAUGUGUUUGAUAUAAUUGAUCAUGAAGUAAUAAUUUUUCAUUUUACCUACAUCUUGUAGGAAGCUCAUGACUUACGUAUUAAGAACAUUGUGACACUUGGUACCCAGAGAGAAAGGGAAGAUUGAUAAACAAGUGUGUAAGGAGAUGUUUAAUUUUGUUAUAUAAGUUAUAUGAAAAUCUAAAAUGUAUAAUUCUACAAACAAUGCAUUGGUCUAGUGGUUUAAGCCUCAUUGAAUCCCUAAGAUCGAAUAUUUAAUUUCUGAUAGCGACAUUUGUUGGUAGAGUUAAUCACGAACCCAAAAAAAUUAAUUUUUUACUAGUAAGAGAUACUCUUAGUAGUACAAAAAAGUAUAAUUUCAAGUAUACCCUUGUAGACAGCAUAUAGAUAGGGUUGUGUUGACUAGAUUGUUGGAGUAAUUUCAAAUUCUCACCUAAAUCGUUUGAAAGUGCAAUUUGUAACACAUGUUUCAAUAAACCCAUCAUCAUCAUGGAGGACAAGAUACUCUCUCGCAUCCAAGUGGAGUUGUUUUUGUACUUUUAUUUUCAAAAGUAAAAAUAUUGUCUCAUCAUAAAUUGAUAAAUUUUGUUUUUGUAGUAUUUAUCUCUUGUGUAAUUGUGAUGAAGAGGAUAAGAAACUAAAAUGUUAAAUUUUAUUUAAUAAUUAAAUAUAUAAAACUUGUGACUUUUUUUAAUACAUAGUUUAUGCAUCUUCAAUAAAAUACAUUCAUUGUGGGUUUUUAUCCUUACCCCUCAGAACUGAAGUUAAUAAAAUAUUUUUUUCAAUAACCCAGCAUGUUGCCAACUUGAAUAACUUAAUUUGGCGUAUUUUGACUUAGUAGAUCGUAGCUUAACAACCAACUUUCUAGAGUGGGUAUGUCUAUUUUUGCUGGUUUCCCACAUAUAUCUUCGUACUGGAGGCAAUCCUGUCCGAGCUAAGAAUAUUUACAGGUACAUGUGGCUAACUCUCCUGACGGACAUUUUUUCUAUCCACAAGACUCAAAUCUGAAACCUUAAGGGGAAUCAAAUAUGUACCACUUGAAUUAACCAACUUUUAGUAGGAAUGUCUAUUUGCUGCAGUAUAAGGAUUAUUGAGAUUCAAUUACUUGUUUGUACAACUUAAUCUAAUUCUUAUUUGCUCGUUUGCUUUUUUUAUUAAUAUGAAAGAUGUAGAGUUCACAACCAAAAACAAUUAUGAAGAAAAACAUGAUUGAUUGACAUUAGGAAUAAAUAUUUGGAUUGUGUAAAUAUAUAUAUAUAUAUAUAUAUAUAUAUAUUAAACUGUUAUUUAUAACUUUAUUACAAAGGAUAUAAUUAAAAAUAUUGUUUACUAUCCAUGGUAUUUUCAUCAUAUAUAGUUAUUGAAAUUUACGCCCAAACAAAUUCUUUUUGUCUUUUUUACUUACAUAUGUAUGCUAGGCUUCUAUUUUGUAGGUUUAAUAAACACUAAAAUUUAAUAAAUAUAUUGAAUCAUGUUGAUUGGUCUAUAUUAAUUAAAUGAAUUUACAAUUUGUAUGAUUUAUUUGAAUAACAAUAAGAAAAAAAUUAUGCUUAGUUACAUUUUUAGUGUAUCUUAAAAGUUAAAAAACAACAACUAAUAGUUGUGGAACAUAGAUCAUCAUGAAUAACAUUUUCAUCUUAAAAUAUGUCUUAUCUUGACUUCCUUUCACACUGACAUAAAUAAGUGCUAUGGCUAUUUAAAAAUAUUAAUAAAUGUUUUAAUAACAUUAUUUAAGAAUUUAAUAAUUAAAAUAAAAAUUUGAAUUUUUUAAUCAACACAAAUAUUGUCUUGAGAAUACUUUAUAUUGUGAAGAUAUUGGAAACAAUAGUUCCUUAGCAUCAAACAAAAACAAUAUUUUCUAACAAUAUUAUAUCUUUUAAACAAUGACUCUAGAGUAAUAUUGCUAGUCAUAUAUAUAAUCAUUUACUAAAUAAAAUAUAUUUAAAAAAAAACAAAAUUGAAAUAAUGAGUUGGUAAGACAAGAGUGGUAGGAGGACCACUACCACUAGGAUUCUUCAUUAUCUUCAUUCCACCUUUCAUAAAUUAAAGAGUAAAAAUGACCAUUUCUAAUUCAAGGCCUAAGAAUUUCGGCUUCAAGAAAAUAUCUUGUGGUCAUAACAUAUCCUUACAAAGAAGAAACAAAAAAUUAAAGCAAAAAGCCCUUUGAAAUGUGCAAUUCCUCAUACUCAAUAGUAUGCAUAGGGCUCAUAAAUAAUGAUAAUGGUAAGAUUCUAGGACCGGAUCACCUGUCCUCAUUCCUGUUCUAUUCGGUAUCCUCGUUUAAUUAAAAAAUUUAACUUAAAUAAAAAAUAUAUUAUAAUAAUAUAAAUUAAUAUUUUCACAUUAUUGUAUGUAGUUUCAUUAGCUAGGUACAUGGGACAGGAAUAUCUUGGAAAAGACAAUCCUAAGAUUACUAGAAAGCUAACUAGCUAGGUUGGGGACCUCAUAUGCAUUGCAAAAAUGUGGCGGUGGGGUUUGUCUUGGGUUUUAGGGAAAUGCCAAUACCAUAAUCUCCAUAUUUUAAUGCAUCAUAGGUUAAGGCUAAAGUUUUUUUAAAAUUUAGUAUAUUGUGCAUUAUUUAUAUAUAUUAGUUUUAUUUUAUAGUGGAUGAUAAUUAAUAUAUGAAUAUUGGAUGAUGAUGAUAUUUAUUUUGUGUUUGCAAAACUUUGAAUAUCUCCUUCUUCUCACACAUUAAACAACAAACGAGAAACUAUUUGAUGAUAUAAUUUAUUGGGACAACUCCUCUCAUUUAUGUGUUUAACUAAUGGUAUUGUUCACUUAUGAAAGAACUAAACUUUGUAAAGAUUUAAAGAAACGUAUGGUUUCAUUAGAGUGUCAUUAUCCAACACAAAUGAUACUAUAGUUAAGAAACUCAUGACCCUGUUAAGAGACCAGCAAAAAUGCUUCAUAUAUAAGUAAAGAUUUAGCCAUUGAUAUAUAGUUUAAUAUAAUUUCAUUAAAUCCUUAAAUAAAUUAAAAAGUUAAAUUUUCUAUUCAUAAUAAUGACAUUUAUUGAGAGACAAUUACAUAAUCUAAAUAUAAUUAUUUCCUUAGUUAUAGAGUAAUUAAAAUACUUUUUGUUAUACAAGAAAAAAGUUAUCCAAUCGAUCUAUUUAUGUGUUCUUUUAUUACUGUAGCUUGCAACAAUUAUAAAUGACACGAUAUAAUACUUACUAGCUGGGUCACGACCAGGUCGCUCUCUUUAAGACGUUUCGUGGCACUGCCAAAAAUGUGCAAGCAGACUAUCAACUACACCGUCCCCGGAAUAAAACAGUCGAGAUCUCUGUUAUCGAAUUCUUAUUGCACUGUAAGAACCGAUCUCGAAUACACCCACCAUAAUAUGACUAUCAGUGUCAAUUCUUGAAAUAUUCACAACAUGGCUACAAGUGUGAGUUCUCGAAAUGCCCAUAAUAUGACUACCUGUGCCAAUUCUUUUCCCCCUCAUUACUGACUACCAGUGUCAGUUCUCAAAAUGCCCACAUGUGCCAAUUAUUUUCCCUUGAUACUGACUACCAGUGUCAGUUCUCGAAAUUCCUACAAUAUGACUACAUGUACCAUUUCUUAGUGCCACAUAAAUAAAGGGGAGAAGUUUGCCGAAAAUGCAUCGACGAAAAAUAUUAGAGAGAAAGAAAAAGUUGAAUGAAAGCGCAUUCAACUUGUGGCAAAAAAAUAUGAAGAUAAGAUACUUCUAUUUAUAACAUGAGAUCUUUUCAUGUUCCUAAUCUCUUCAUUGUGAGACUUGGGAGUUGUUUUCUUUCAAAACUCUUCCAUGUGAGACUUGAGAAUAUUUUAGAUUUCACAUCCACAACCAAGUUCCAAUAUGUUCACAUUUAAUGAGGGAUUCACAAGGAUAACAUGUAAUGUAGGAUAAUAUAUUUUAUUAUACUUGAUUUGGUUUAAAAUAUAUAUUAAAAUAUUAAACUAAAAAUCAAAUAAUUCAAAAAUUUAUCUUCAAAUCAAUCAAAUUGAGUGAAGUACAAAAUGACAUACAAAUAUAAUAGAGGAUAUGUUCGUUCAUACCAAAAAAAGUCCCAUCCUUUAUAUGUUAGAAGAUCAAGUUAUAUGAUUGUAGAGUAUGGAACAAUCAUAACUAAAUAAUUUUUUAACUGGUGGCUGGCAGAAUUGAACAAUAAUUGUAAUUAAUGGCAGUUGAAGACUAAUAUGCAGGUUCAAGUGGUGCAUACUUGAUUCUUCUUAAGUAAUGUUUCAGGUUUGAGUCUUAUGAAUAGAAAAAAUGUCGUUAAUUCUACGUACCUGUUGAUGUUCCCGUCUCGAACAAGAUUAUCUUUAGUACAAGAAUAUACGUGGGAAACCAAAAAAAAUGGUAGGGGAAGAAGUUGAUAGGAUCAUGUAGAAUAAUAAUACUUUAACUACCGGUUGUUUGGAUGAAUUUUUGGAUAAUAUUAUGUUGUGAAAUGGGUCCAUUAUAUUCAGAAAUCCCCAGAGACCCCAUACUCAUCACAUCUCUGGCCCUUCAAUUAAUUUUGGCACUAUAUAUUAUGACUUGAGUGAGACCGACAUAAAUGUUAAUCUAGAUUUAAUUUUGAAUAAACAACUAAAUUCAAUUGAGGGUCAAUUUACUAGAAGAUUGCAAUCUCAAUUAGACUUUUAUUUUUAAUAUAUACUAAUAUCCCAUAUUUAAAUAUUAAAAUAUUGUCUUUACUUUUUAAUUCUUAUUUUAGUUUAGUUGAUCAUAUUAUUUUAGUCCUUAUGGGUGACACACCAAUUAAUUUCCUCAUCAAUAUUUGUGUUAAUCACUCCGGAAUAACGCCAUAAAGUUCAGAAUAUAUAAGGGAUCAAAACCCAAAAAAUAAGUUUAUCUAAAAUAAAAUUUCAUAUAUUUUUCAAGGUAAAAACAUAUUUAACCGUUUUUAAUAUCGUCUAGUAUAUACCGAGAUAUUGAUCUAGCUUAAAUCUUUACUGAAUCUCCAUGUAUCACACUAGAUCAAACUAAAUGUUCGAUUUAUAUGAGUGAUAUUUAUUGAAGGGACAUACAUAUAUCAUGAAACUGUACAUUGGUUAUCCCAAAAUAGUAUAUAUUAUUAACGGAUUAAAUAAUAAAUGAAUUAAUUAAAUUAUUCCUACAUCAAUACAAUAAAUGAAACAUUAAUAAAUAAAAAAUAAUACUAAGAUUCACAAUAAGCACAAGUAAAUUACCAUGGGCGCUAACCGCUAAGCAUCAAACAACUAGUACUAUUCUUCUUGAUUCUAUUUUUGAGUGGUGGGAGGGACCAUGCAAUGUCAUAAUGGAAGGUAUCAUCCGUAUUUCACUAUCUAUUUUAAGUCAAUUAAAAUAUUACAUUUUAUUAUUUUUAUUUUUAAAAAAUUUCUUUUAUUUAUAUAUCAAUAUAUGAUUGAUUUCGGAUAGAUUAUACGACAAUAUUAGAGACAUGUGAUCCGAUUAUGUCAUAACCAAAUAUGAAACUUCCAUAUAAAUCUAGACAUAACUCCAACUUAACUUAUGUUGUCUAACUUUCUCACAUUUUUCUCUCAUAUAUAGUGUCACUUAUUACAAGUUUGUUUGUCUCUAUCUAAGGAAAUAUGUGUGGGGGAGCUAUCAUCUCUGACUUCAUUGGUGUGAAGCGUGGCCGGAACUUGGUUACCCACCAAGACCUAUGGGCUGAGCUUGACCCUCUCUCUGAUCUCCUUGGCUUUGAUGCCACCAACCCUACUUCUAAGGACCAACAACCACCACCCUUCUACUUUGAUCAUAAGCCACCUCAAAUCCCACAAACCAAAGGUAUGUGUACCUAAUUCAAUAAAAUUAUGUUACUUACUAAUACUAUAUACUUUCUUCAUAUUCCUAUCUAACUUUUUUGUCACCCUUUCUUCAUGGGUAUAACUAUAUACUUUUUUGUAUUUGAUGCUAUUGAGUUAGAGUUUCAAUUCUAGGAGUUUAACUACUAGUUUAUUGCUUUAAUUUAUUUACAAAAAAACAAAGAAAGUUACCAUUAAAAAUCAAGCAAAACUUUUUCUUUUUCCUUUUAUGAGUAAUUAUCAUCUAAAUUUUGCUCUCAUGACAUGUAAUUUCUUUUAACAUUCAUCUGGGUAUGUCAUCAAUUAGUUUCUUGGAUACAUGAGCCAGUUAUGCUUAAUUGUUUAAGGGGUAUGAAUGAAAAUGAAGUGAAGUUCAAGCAUUCACUUUUGUUUUCUUAUGAAAAAUAAUUCACUUCUUUGACAUUUACAAUAUACCUUUUUUUAAUUUUUCUUUUACUUACGUUUUCCUAUAUCCAUCAACUAAUAAAAAGCAAAAGAAGAAAGAAAAGGCAAAGUUGAUAGCUUUCAAGUUUUUAACUCAAGAAUCUAAAAAAGGGUAAAUAAUCUUUUGAGAUAAAAGCCAAUUUGAAUUACUUUUUUUUUAUAAACCUGAUUAUCAUUUUAUGUUUUUACAUUAUUUGUAUAAUAUAUAUAGAACUAUAUAUUAAAAAAUCUUAUUAAUUUAAACACAUAAUUUAAUAAUUUACUACAUAAAAAUAAUGUUUCUAGAUGACAUAUAAUCACAACUAUCACAAUACUUUAUCUUCACCAAUUAAAUCAAAAACAUAGUCAAAAUAUGGAUUACAUUACACACCAGCAAUCAAACUUAGACAAGAGAACUACAUAAUAAUUAUGAGAUAAUGUAGCAAUAAUAAAUGUGUGUGGCAAUGGUAGAAUCUGACAAGGAAAAGAAGAAAAACUUGAAGGUUGUUGCCAUAAACAAUGAGUAUUCUCAUGAAGAAGCUCCUAAGGGCAUGGCUAAGGGUAAGGUUCGGAAGAAUGUGUAUAGAGGAAUAAGGCAAAGGUCAUGGGGAAAAUGGGCAGCUGAGAUUAGGGAUCCUUAUAAGGGUGUCCGUGUCUGGCUUGGCACCUUCAACACCGCCGAGGAAGCCGCUGCGGCCUACGAUAAAGCCGCCAUUCGCAUCCGCGGUGACAAGGCCAAGCUCAACUUCCCUUCUCCGCCUCCAGCUAAGAAACGUUGCAUCAACCAUGAUACUGUUGGUGAGGGUUUUGACCUAAAGCAACAAAUCUCAGACCUUGAAUGGUUCCUUGAGUUGGAGAAUGAACAACCUAUGCAGCAGUUCAAUAGUGUUGACAAUAAUAACAGCAACAACAUGGAUCUUUGGAUGCUGGAAGACAUCGUUAUGUCCAAUCCUAACUUUGUUUACUAGGAAUGAUAAUUACUUAUAUAGUAUAUGAUUGGAGUAUUAAAUUUGGACCAUGCAUGUUGUGUUUAUAUGUAAUGUUAUUUCUAUACUUAAUCUCUAUAUUAAUGAUAUGUUUACGAGUUUGGUUUUGGAGAGGGGAAAAUAGAAUAUGAAUGUUUCUCAGCCAUGAAAUACACUUGUGAUAUGAUUUUGGAACUGUCUAUUUCCUUCCAAAACUCAGCUCACACAUAGGCUCUAACUGUUUGUUUAUUAUCGAGGUGAUAUUUGGAGGGUAUGGAAGGGGAAUAAAAUACUUUAAAGUUAUAUCACAAAUAUAUUUUAAGAUUUUCAAGUAUUUCCUUUACUUUUAAUUGUAGUAUUAUGUUUCCAUAGUACAAUUUAUGUGCCUUGUAUAAUAAUAUAUGUUGGUGUUUGUCGUUUGUGAAAUGUGUAUUUUCAAACCUCUGUUUAUGAGAUUUUGGUGCAUGAAUCUGAUCACUGACUCUCUAGAUCAACUUGAAUGUUAUAGUAGUUGAUUAUUUAUUUAAAAUCUUGCUCCAGAUUUGAUAACUAUGUAAUUAUUUUAUAGUCUCUGUUAUCUAUGAAGACAUUAAUUAAUUUUCGGAUAUAGAUCGGUACCAUUCUUAUACUAUCUUAUUUUGUAAUUAUUUUCAACUUAGUUUGUACUUUGUAAACAUUUAUAUUAACUUACAUGUCAAUAAUGAACACAAAGAAAUAAAUAUUAAUUUUUUUGUAAGGAUAAUUUACAUGGACUAGAUAUUGUAGUAGUUAGAUUCAUCUAACAAAGAAGCUUCAAAGAUGAAACCUGGUCAUAACAUGUAACAAAGGAAUCUAUGCGUUUGACCACUCAAAUUCAGAAACAUGGAACCCAAAACGGUCAUAUACAUACAUGAAUGAAUAGAGAUUAGUUUAUAUCCUAUUUAAGUUACACUAGUUAUAUUUGAUCUUAGUUAUUCAUUUUCUUAGAUCCAACUGAUGAAAUGGGUAAAUGCAAUAAAUGAUGAGAAAGAAAAAUAGAAAUCUUAAAUAAUUUUUAAAUUUUACUCAUUUAGUUUGUUGAAUCUAAGAAAAUAAAUGACUAAGAUUAAAUUAUAACGUGGAAUAUAUAUUUUGCAAGUCAAAUCAUAGUGCUUUUAAGUUGGCGAGUUCACUUCAAUAAUUUCAUGCUGAAAAAAACAAAAGUAGAUAUGCAUGAACCAAAUCUCAUUUUCGACACCCCAAACAUUAGUGGGACCCCAAUAUCAAGUGUUGGAUUUUAAAUUAUUCUAUUAAUCAUAUUUAAAUUUUAAACACAAUAGAUUCCCAUAUCUUGAGAUGAAACAGGAAAAGCAAGUAAAAUAUAAGCUACUUGAUAUAGAGAUGACACUUAUUUACUUAAAGAAUGAUAAAUUUUUCUUUAAAAAAUAAUCGAUUAGUCUGUUAAUUUUUUUAAGUUUUUAAAGUAUCAUCCUAUAUUAGGAUAUGAGAUUAACGCUUUGACCAAAGUGAUAGUUAAGGGAAAGUAUUAAUUGCAUUUAGAUUGAGUAGGCCCAAUUUUAACCUCUAAAAAUUAAAGUGAAAGUAUUUUUGUCCUAAAAUAAAUUAACCAAUGAUAGAAAAAAUAACAUCGUUCUAGUUCGUAGUCCUAUUGCAAGAAAAUAGUAGUAUAUUGGCAAAAAAAAUUCCAACGCUUCAAUUUUGCCAAAGAAAUGUUUAUUUUAUAGUAUUUAGUAUAGCUUCCUUUUAAAAUUAAUAUGAAAAAUAUCAUAUUAUCAGUUUCUUGUAGCUGUCUAGCUAUAUGUUAAGAUUUCAUCUCAAAAUCAAUUGAUUAUGAGAGGAGUAGCCAAACAAGUAUUUAAAUCAUUCCCGAGACAAUGAGGUAGACGAUGUGAGACUUACUUUCUAACACUAUCCCAAAACAAAAGGUGAUAGGUUUUGUAUUAAGAUUUAAUGUUAAUAAUAUCACAUAAAAAUAUUUAAUUACAAUGAUAUAUUUUGUGAAACAAAUCAUACCUAAAAGAAUAAAUCAUACCCAAAAUGAUGUAGAUUUUACUUUUUGGUGUAAUGCUCUAAUCUCCUAUAUUAGUGGCUGAAGUUCCUCCACCUUGUCCUUUUAUUUUUUGUCAUUGCAUCUAGGUGGAACACCCUUUUAAGACACUCUUUCUAUUGUACCUUUCUUUAUAAAAAAAAAUUAAAUUUUAUUCGGGUCAUAAGAUAAGUUAAUAAUUAUGUUGAUUCAUUAAUAAUGAUAAUAUUUGUGUUAAGUACUAAGAGGCUCACAUUGAUUAAACAUAUUAUCAUAAUGGUCAAUUUAUAAUAAUUUGGUUAAACAUCUUGUAUGAGAUUGUUCUUAAGGUGGAAUAUAAUCCUCAAUUGCCCAUAAAUAUAUCAACCAAAUAUUAUUGAUACUCAUAAUGGCGACGAGAAUGUCCAUAAUCCUAAAUUGGGUUUCACUUUUCAUUUUCAUAAUCUUAAAUUGGGCUUAUGGGCCUCUUGUCUAUCAUACUUGGUCCUUACACUCACCUUCUAACUUUCAAUUUCAUUUCAUUUUUCAAUAUAUCAUAAUUUUAUUUUUGUAGUAGAUGCCUAUAGCAUUUACGGUUUAUGAUAUAGGCGUAAGGAUCCUCACUAAGUACCAUACUAGGAUUGAGCAUAGGCCAGAUAGAAAGGGGUUAAAGCUUGUUCUUACCUAGUCAUAAAUGUUGGUUGGAUUAUAUUUUGAACUCGGACCAGACCCAAAGUUAACUCGACCCCUAAAUAUCGACUAAGUCAGCUUUUAAACUGGACUUGAUCUAUAGCCGACUAAAUAUCAUACAUGUUCAUUUUAGAUAAAGUCUUCUCAAUAUUAUUUAUCAUUAUGAAUAUGUAAUUUGAUAUAUAAAAUGAUAUAUAUAUAUAUAUUUAAUCAUGUAUAUAUGAUGAAAAGUUUACAGAAUCAAUAAUAUUUUCGACCAAACAAGUGUUAUAACUUUGAACAUAUUUGAAUAGAGAUAUAUACAAUAUAAUGAGUGAGUGAUCAUGGGAUAGGUCGGGUCAUGUUUGGUCCCUGCCUGACCCUAAAUAUUGAUUGUGUCUAAAAUUUGAACCCAAACUUAGUCAUAGACCUGAUGAGACCCGACCCUAUUCGGACCUGAUCAUGAUCGGGCCAUACUGGGUGAGCGGGUAGGGUCAAGUCCUGCUCACUCCUAUACCACACAAUAAAUACAAAACACAACAUGUAGUGACACUUUUUUUAUUUUGUUUAUUAUGAAAUUACAUUUUAUCAUAGAAAAUAUAAGAAAAAACAAUUAUUCAUCUCUUCAUUAAUGAAGAUGGUCCUUAUGGUAGAAACAUGUUUUUUUACUGUUCUUCUUAACCUCUUAUCAUGAAACUUUCACACCAUAUCUUUAUUACAAAAGCCUAAGUUAACCUCUCAUUCUACACCAAGCUCAUCCAUUAACAAUAUAAAAAUUUAUACACAUCCAAUAUAUACUAUUCACUAUUAUAUUAUAUUACUUAUAUUUAAAAGUUCACGAUAGCUAAAUAUAAAUAAUGAAUGAUGCAAUGAGAAUAUAUAUAUAUAUCUUACGAUAUUAACAUCAAUAGAUACAUUUCUUUUCUCAAAAACAAUUGUGGAUACUCAAUUGCUGUGCAAACCAUUCCACAAUUUGUGGAGCAGUAUUAUGAGACAACCGUAACCAACAAUUUUGGCAUAUAACAUUCUCUCAUUCACUAUUAUCGAGAGAGGGAUAAGAUGAAUCUUAUAAUUUAAAUAAACCAAAUUAUUGAGCAUGUUGGUCAAAUGAUAGAGAGCUUGUCCAACUUAACUCUUGAAUUUGAGCCAUACUUGCAUAACAUUACUUCUUAUAUAAGAUACAUGUCAUAUCAUACAAAAAAUAAGUUUCCAAAUCAUACCAGCCAAAAAAUAAAAGAGUGAGUAUCCACUUAUUCUAAGAAUAAGUUUUUUAAACUUGCUCACUAUCAUAUCCAUCAAUUAUACGGACAUCUAAUGAUUUAUAUCUACUUAAUAAUUGAACUUUCCUAAAAUUGAUGACUAGGACGAGAGUUAGCGAAUCUCUCCUAAAAAUAAAAAUGGUAACAUGCUAGCACAUUAAUAUUACAUAGUAAACCACUAAUGUGCUUUUUGGUAAAUAAUUAAUAUUUUUUUGAGAUAUGUGACUAUCUCUCCUAAAUUCAAAAAUUAAAUAGGAGGUUGUAAGCUGCAUCAUUACUUUAAUAUGUAUGUUAAAAAUACUAUGGAGAAAUUUACAUCCAAAUAGACAUAAAUCUCUCUAAACAAAACUGAAUAUUUUUACCCAUGGUAGUUAGAGUUGUAAUAAUAGGUAAAGAACUUUGUACUUUGAAAUAGGUGGACUUUUCCAUCAAACUCUCUUCUCCCUCUUCUAGAUAUAGUGCAAAGUGGUGUUUAAUCAACAUUCUAGAGGGUUGAUGAAAGUCAUAUAGUUCCAAAAUUUCAAUGAUCCACCUUUGCAACCUCUACCAUAAUCAUUUCAUAAAAUAAUGUAUGUAUGAUAUAUAACUGUCAUUGAUUAUAUAUUAUUAAUAUUUAAUUAUUGUUACUUUUCAAAAAAAUAAUAUAAAUGAAUGAUAUAUGAUAUAUUAAACUGUGUAAAAAUAUUAAGAAUGGGGCAGCCUUUUUCCAUUCAAGAAUUUUUAUUUUAGCUUGCCAAAUUUGACUUAUGUAUUAAUUAUCACGUGUAACCCUUUCAUGUCUUUAUUCAUAGCUCAUGUACUUUUUUACCUUAUGAGGAAAUGAGAAACCUAUUACCAUAAAAAAAGAAGUCUAGGUGAUAAGAAAUGAUCAUUUCUUAGUAAAAUUUCAUAUUUCAGUCUUAUUAAUGUUAAAUAAUUGGUAUGAAAAUAGUGGGCGAUGUGAAAGUUUUUUCCCCUUUCAUAAUUCUUCAAAUACAAAUAUAUAUAGAUGAUAUGGUCUAUUAUUUAUUCGGAUUUUUUAAACUUCAUUAUAAAAUAUUUCAACAAAAAAAGGUGUAGUUUAUUGUUCCACUAACUUAAUCAUAAUUAGUGCUUAGUUUAGAUUUCAUUAUCAUAUUUAGAUGUGAUGUUGUUCCUAUUAAACUCACUUCAAAUUAUGAUAUGUAGGAAUGGUAAAUAAAUGUUGUAGAGGAUGUUUUUUUUGGGUUUCUCAUAUGUAUUUUCGCACCAGAUGUAAUCCUAUCCGAGUCGGGAACAUCCACAGGUACGUGGUGCUAACUCUUCCAAUGUACAUUUUUUUAUCCACAACACUUGAACCCGAAAUCUUGUUUAAGGGAAAUCAAACAUGUAUCACUUGAACUAACGCUUGUUGGUUGUAAAGGAUGUUUUGAUUAAACAAUUCUCAUGAUCUACCCUAUAAUUGUUUAAGCUUUAAAGUAAAGUAGAACCUUCCAAUUGGAAAUUAAGAUAUUUAAUACCUUGAAAAUCUUGAAAUUGUGAAUUUGACAGUUUUUUACUUUAUGAAUAUUUGAAUUUUUUAUGUGCACUCCUACUCAUAAAUUUUAAAAUAUUGGUCUAGUAUUGUAAAGAUUGUUGACUGAAUUCUCAUAUAUAUAUAUUAGACCAAAUAUCAAAUGUUUGAUUUUUUAGAACAACACUUAUUAGAAGUAGAAAAAUUUAGGAGAUACAUUCUAUCAUAUAAUAUGACAAAGGAGAGAAAUCAUGUAAUCUCAAUUAGAUUAACACAACUCCAUUUUGCAAUAAGCAUUUGACAUAAUAGAAAAAUACAUUUAGCCAUCUUCAAAAGAUAACCCCUCAACCAAACACUAAGAAACCCUUCAAAUUAAAGAACCUUUGAUUCAUAUAAAAAAUAAAGUAAAAUAAUGAGCCCUUCAAGUUAAAUAAAGUACAAAACAAUUCACCCACACUUUGAAACAACUUAAUUUUCUUCUUCUUUUGUUUGUUGGAUAAACUAAAUUAAUACAAGUUAUAUCUUGCAGGCUUGGAUUUACAACCUAGUUAGAUAUUUUACACCUAAACAACACAAAAUAAUAAUUACACUUUUUAAAUACAUUUAUUUUUAUAUAAUAAUAAAAAGUUUAAAAUCUAUCCAACUUUAGUAUAAAGUUUUUUUAACUGUCGGCAUAUCAUUUAUCAUUGAUUUAUAUUACUCUUAAUUUUAAUUGAGAGCCAAUAAUAUUUAACAUAUGAAUGAUAAAUAAUUUUCUGAUAGAUAAAAACACUUAUAAUGUUCAUAUGUACGUAUUAAAUUCAAUAAUAAAACCAAUGUGUGUUGGAUCAAGUGAUAGAUGUUUGUGAUUUUCUUUAAGUAAUAUGAGAUUCGAGUCUUAUGAAUGAAAAAUAUCCGCUGAAAGAGGGUUAGAGUCUCAUAUGCCUAUAGUAAAAAUCAAUAAUAAAAGAUUACAAUGCUAGUGAAGAAAACAAACCUUGUGCACUUUUUCUUUCAUUGGCGUUGUUCACUGUUCAACUCUGCCAUUAUUAUUUAAUAAUAAAAUCCCUUUCUCUUUCUCUCUCUUUGAAUUUGGAUUUGGGAUCUAUAAACUCGAACGACGUCGUUGCAGCUCCUUCUCUUCCGAUUCAAUUCUCUUUUUCCGGCGAAUCAGGUUCCGAUGGCGACGGAGCAGUUUAUGUCCGGGGACGGUCCCCGCUAUGUUCAGAUGAAUUCAACGCCGCCGUCGUCGCCAGCAGCAGAGGAGAUGACGUCUGUUCCGUCGUUCCGGCACGGUGGCUGUGAGACCACUCGGAUUUUUGAAGAAUUGCCUAAGGCCGCCAUCGUUUCGGUGUCUCGCCCCGAUGCCAGUGAUAUAAGCCCUAUGCAACUCUCUUAUACUAUUCAGUUUCAGUACAAACAGGUUCCGUUCAAUUUCUCGUUUUCUCUUAGCGAUUCAGCUUUUGUCGAAUGUUUCAUAUAAAUUCUAUGAUCUAAAACACUGAAGGCAAUAGAAUAAGUAGCGAAGAAAAUCAUAUGAGAUUGUUUCAUAUAUUUGAAUCUAAUUACUUCUUGUUGUUGCUGUGUAUGUGUAUAUGUAGGUUGUUAGGUGAACUGAGCAAAGGUUUGUUUGAAAAGUAGAAAUGGAUAAUGUAAUUGUUAUGCACUUUGUUUUCUGCAAAGGUCUGUUACGUAGGGCACAUUUAUUUAGGUUUAAAAAGGUGAUUCAGCAUAAUUGAUUUUGGCAAAAAUGAAUUUUUGAGAAGCUAAUAAGAAUUUCUUCUAAAAUAAACUGAAUUUCAUUUUUUUUGUUCGUUUGUAAAAGCUCAACCAAACAAAUGUGUAAGUGCCAAAAAUAAUUUUUAAUCAAAAUAAUCACUUUUGUGUGUGAAUAAGGCUUAGACAAACAAGCUGCUAGUUGUAAAUAGCUUUGGCCUUUUAGUUUUACUUGUGGUUUUCCUCAGUUAACACUUUAGUCUUUUUCACAUGUUUUCUUUUCCAACUUGGUUGGAUGAUUUCUUCAGUUCCAUUUCCACUGUUAGCCUUUAGAUUAAUAAAUUAUAUGCAUUUUACAGUUUGGUAUUCUCCAGUUUUGUUCUGUUUGUUUUGGAUAAUACAUUAGACAUUCUUUUUAUGCGUGGAUGGAGGGAUUUUUAUACCUUCAGGUAGCGUUUGGUAACCUUACAACUACAAGAAAGGGACAGAACUGGACAAAUGAGUUAUGUCCCAUGUGUGGUGCAAAUUAAUGAUAGAACUGAACAGGACGAUCGGGCAAAGGAAUGGAUCAUUUUUGGUUCCACUAACUGAUAAGGAACACAACCAUGUUCCUAUACUUAUUAUAAUGACAACAUACUCACAUACAAACCUGGGUCUCAUAACUUUCUUCGUCCAUCUUCUUCUCCCUACUUCCAGGGAUCUGCGACCUCUUGUUUUUUUGUUUGUUAUUUAUUGAAAUUGCGUUCUGGAAUGGUGACUAGGCAAGGCAUAUUUGACUGGUUAGAACUGGGAAUUUGCUAAAAUUGUUCAGGAGAUGAGUUUUGAGGAAGAUGACGUUGUUGUUGCUUUUGCACUUUCUGCCAUUUUUGUACAAGGGGACAUGGUUAGUGAAAGUGUGAGUUUGAGUCAGCACAUUGACCAUAUUCUGUUCCAAUUUCACGAUUUAUCUCUUGCAAUACUUGACCACGUUACCUAGUUAUGCAACCCAUCUCUAUCCACCAUUUUCAUAGGUUCCAUUAAAUCAAUUCAAAUGGUGUGAUAGAAUAGUCAAAGUCUGGGGAAUAGAGAGUGAUGAAUAUUCAAACUUCAAAUUCAUACAAAAAUAUCAUAUAUAUAUAUAUAUAUAUAUAUCUGUAAUUAGUGAUAGCGUUCUGUUCCACUUGUCCAACACCAAACACAGAACAGGACACAUUGGUCUGUUUAGUUCUAUGGUUACCAAAUGCAGUACACAGGACAUAUCUAUGCUUUGUUCCAUUCUGUUCUUUUAUGUUCCAUCUUGUCUGUGUGCCAAAUGCUACUUUAGUGUCCUUACCUUGUAUGUCUCCCCGUUUAGAUGGUUGGAUGUAAGAAACCUGUGUUGAUAAAUAGUGAUUGUUUCUUAUUCAUUUCAUUUAGUCUUCUUUCCUACAGGAGUAAUACUUAUAUAUCUCAUGUUCUCAUUUUCAUUCCAGUUCAAGUGGGAGCUAGUGAAGAAAGCUUCUCAUGUAUUUUAUUUGCAUUUUACGUUAAAGAAACGGGUCUUUAUUGAGGAAAUUCAUGAGAAGCAAGAGCAGGUAUGGGAUAAGCAUUUUAAUUAUAUCAUUUUUGUUUUUUGGCUAAUAUAAUAUAUAAAUGGUUCUUAGAUUUAUUAUGCUACUCAAUGAGAUUAUGUAUAUCUGGCAAAGUUUGGAUUUUGAUGUAAUGUUCAUUCAAACAUUAUAUUAAAGGUUAAAGAAUGGCUUCAAAAUCUAGGAAUAGGAGAACACACUUCUAUGGUACAGGAUGAUGAUGAAGCUGACGAUGAAACAAUUCCCUUACAUACUGAUGAAAGUGCUAAAAACAGGUGACCCCCAACAUGCAACUAUUGUUGGAGCACUCUUACAGUUGCAAUAUUUUACUCUGUGGCCAUAAUUUCUUAUAAAUUUAUUUUUUGUUUACAGAGAUGUUCCAUCUAGUGCUGCUCUACCAAUUAUACGGCCAGCCUUAGGUAGACAGCAGUCUAUAUCAGACAGGGCAAAGAAUGCGAUGCAAGGGUAUCUGAAUCACUUUUUGGGAAAUAUCAGUAUUGUUAACUCUCCUGAGGUACACUCUUUGCAUGAACUUUUGAAAACUGAUACUUAAUAGGAGCUGUUAGUAACUGUCUGACAGUAACAGAGUCUGCACAAUAGUAACAGGGUUUGUAUGAAAUAUUUUGUUUUCAGUUGAAUUCCAUGACUAUUUAUGUUUUGUUAUGAGCCAUUUGUUUGGUACUUCAUCCUCUCCAUUGAUUUUGUUGUUGCAUUUCUGUUUUAUUUAAGGAUCACUAGACACUUACGUUACGUUAAGCAAUUUUAUGCCAUAGGUUUGCAAGUUUUUGGAGGUAUCAAAGUUAUCUUUUUCACCUGAAUACGGCCCUAAGCUGAAGGAAGAAUAUGUAAUGGUGAAGCAUCUGCCUAAAAUUCCAAGGGACAAUGAUUCCAGAAAGUGUUGUAUGUCUGGAUGUUUUAGUUGUUGUAAUGACAACUGGCAAAAGGUAAGAGAAUCUGGUUUUGAAGGUGUCAAUACUCAAUAUGAUUCACUUGUCUUGGUUUCUAUUGGUACAUGUAAAAACUAAAUAAAUUUGCACGUGACAUUUAUCCUCUACUGAGGAAGUCUACAUAUAUACUUAUACCAUCUGUUAUGUAAUGAGAAGCCACUCAUUAUAAUACUUUGAUCAUGGCGAACAAGUGAUGGGAAUUGAGAAAACGAAUGAAAAUCAGAGAGAGAAGAGAACCUGUUACUAACUGAAAACUUGCCCACAACAGAAUAAGGAAGGUACCUAUAUAUUAUCUCAACUGUAGUGACAGCUAUCAUACAAAUGUCACUAACUGACACUUCCCAAAAGCUUUUAGUGACUGCCUAACAGUAACAGAGUCUACAUAUCAGUAACGUGACUAACAGAAGUAAUUGAUAACUAAGGUAAGUAAUUUGUGCGUACUAUCCACUAUACUCUUAAUACUCAUACAGUAGCAAUGGCGACCUGCAUUGUACUUCCAAAAAGCAAAUCUUUUUAGGUACAUUUUCUCCCUUUUCAAACUUUUGAAACCGAAAGAGAACUUUUAAUUUAUAUAAUAUGCUCUUUUCUCCUGGAAGUCUCAUAAAUAUAAGGUUAUGUGAGUUUGGAAGCGGACCAAUAUCAUGAACUUAAACUAACACUCCUCUCCUCACUUUUCAUUAAUAAAAUAUUCGACAUUGGGUAUUUAAAGUUGAGACUAAUAGGGGAAGUCAACUUUCUAUAGUAUACAUACACUACAGACUAUAUAUGUUGGGAUCGAAGUUUUGUUUGGUUGGAAAAAGAUUAGGGGGAGUGGUGGCUGCCCUAUUCCAAGGCCAAGCAUGCUAUAAACCUCAGUGAGGACUUAUGGUGGUACUUACAAAGUGCUUACUGAGGGGCAUUGCUGGCAGUGGGAACUAAACCUAAGCCUUACGAGUGAAGUUCUUCAUCCUCACCAACUGAACCAACCCCCAUUGGCAUUUUAAUUAUUUACCAGAUCUUGGAUUUUUGCAGACAGUCUGGUAUUUUAUGACACUUUAUAAGUAUCUUUCACUUUAUUUGGUUUAUCUUUACAAUUAUCACUUUCGUGUCUUGGUUUGUACAGGUAUGGGCUGUACUGAAACCUGGAUUCUUGGCAUUGCUGGCAGAUCCUUUUGAUACACAACCCUUGGACAUUAUUGUUUUUGAUGUACUGCCUGCUUCAGAUCGCAAUGGGGAUGGCCGUCUAUCACUAGCGAGCGAAGUGAAGGAACGGAAUCCUUUACGCCAUUCGUUCAAGGUGAGAAGGGUGCUCUUCUCUCUGUGCUGUUGUUUCAUAGUCUUGUGAGUUAAAAGGAUAUAAUGCCGAUUCAUAUUGUCACUGUGCCACAUCAAAUACAUCCCUGAUUUGCUCCUUGAAAUAUUUUGAAACAUCAAUUUGGUACUUGAAAGAUUAGUAACAUCCAUUUGAUCCCAGCUAGCAGAAUUGUUGGACUACUAAAAUGUUAAAAACACAUUAUUCAAAGAGCAAUUUGUUUUAAUGCUAUUUUUUGUGACCAAUUUGAUAUUCUGAAUGCCAAAAUGAAGGCUUGUUAUAGUAUUUUUACUAGUUAUCAGCCAUUUAGCUGACUUAUGGAUUUUUUAGUCUGUUAAUAUAAUAUACAGGAAUAUACUUUUCAACACUUAACUUAAUGCUUUAGGUGACUUGUGGAAUUCGGAGCAUUAGAAUUAGGGUGAAAAGUAGUAGUAAAGGUAAAGAUUGGGUUGCUGCAAUUAAUGAUGCUGGACUCAGGCCUCCUGAAGGCUGGUGUCAUCCUCACCGGUAUGGUUCUUUUGCUCCUCCAAGAGGGCUGAAUGAAGAUGGCAGUCAAGCACAGUGGUUCAUAGAUGGGCGAGCAGCAUUUGAGGCCAUUGCUACUUCAAUUGAAGAUGCAAAAGCAGAGGUUUGAUAUUUCAGUGUCAGAACAUUCAAGGCCACUUUCAUGAUAGUUUUUCUUUAUCUAUUUUUAUCAGAGAAAAUAAUAAUUGUUUUCAAGUUUAUGUUAAAUGAUAGACUAAAAAUACUCGUGCAGAUAUAUAUCUGUGGGUGGUGGCUGUGCCCAGAACUGUAUCUACGUCGACCAUUCAGUGACCAUGCUUCAUCAAGAGUUGAUAGUUUGUUGGAAGCAAAAGCUAAGCAAGGAGUUCAGGUAACCUUUAAUAUGAAAUCUUUUACAUGACUUGUCAAUUUUACUUAAGACACUAUUGUUAUGAAUUAUUUUUAUAAUUGAGUGGUUUAAAUUAAAAGAAAUAAUUGCAAUCAUUCCAAGGAUUUGAAUAUGAUAUUGGAUUUCAGUUAUUUUAUAUGUAUUUUUCUUUUACAAUAAUAAUAUUCUUUGGUUCUUGUACUGGAAUGACUACUUAUUCCCUCUUUUUGUUGCUAACUUUGCAUUUUGUUACAAAGUGACUUGUUUUAAGCUUUGGUCAUUGUUAUGAUUAUGAAGGUUUUCAGUUAUCUUGCAUGCCACCUUGAUGAUGCAUGUUUCAAUUGCUUUAUUUCCAUAGAAGUGUUAUGAUUUAUAUGAAUGUUUUUUUCAAAAGCAGAUUUACAUUCUUCUCUACAAAGAGGUGGCUCUUGCUUUGAAAAUCAACAGUGUUUAUAGCAAGAGAAAGCUUCUUAGCAUUCAUGAGAAUGUGAGGGUAUUACGCUAUCCUGACCACUUUUCUACUGGCAUUUAUCUGUGGUAUGCACUUUCCCAAAGCCUGGACUUUUGUCUGUGGUCUUAUGAAGAAAUUAUAUUUUUUUUAUUGACAAGUAUCAGUUUUACUACAAUUUUGGGGGUUUCUUAUAUCUGCUAAUGAUUAUGUACAGGUCGCACCAUGAAAAACUUGUCAUUGUUGAUAACCAUGUUAGCUUUAUUGGAGGACUGGAUUUAUGCUUCGGUCGUUAUGACACAUCUGAGCAUAAAGUAGGAGAUUCUCCCCCUAAAAUCUGGCCUGGAAAGGACUAUUAUAACCCUAGGUGAGUUUUGUGAGUAUAAAAUAAAAUCAUAAAGAAGCUAAAUUUCCAAGUCCAGUUGGCCAUGCUGCGAGAUCAUUAAAAGCUUUGAUCAAGUAAAAAAGUUGUAUUUCUUUGAAGUUUUUCAAGUUUUUGAAGAAAGGAUAGAAACUGUGUCAGUAGAAGAACAAAUCUGCUGUCUAGUUGGCCAUAGCAGUAGAAGAAAUUGGUGUUUAUUUUAAGGAGCAAAAUCAGAACCUAUAAUAAGUAUCUUAAAUGUAGGUGUUAAUUUCUCAUCAUGCUUUAUAUAUAAGUUUUCAGAAGGAAAAAAAUUCUAAAAAUGAAAAAAUUCACAGCCAGGCCAACCAGGCACUAAUUCUCUUUCUGUUUCAUAUAGUUCAUUUCCCAUAGGUUCUAUACAUCUUAUAGUAAUCUGGUCCAAGGAGUUAAUAGGGUACUUAUCUAUUCAAAUUCAUUUGUAUGUUUUAUAUAAUUCACUUCUCAUUUUUAUUCUAGUGGAUGUAAUAUCUGACAUAAAAAACUUUUGGUAGGUAUUAAGUAUUUCAUUCAUUAUUACCUGUUCAUAGACUAGGUCUUUCUUGAUUCAUAGAUUCAUUUUCAUUUUUGCCAGAGAGUCUGAGCCAAAUUCAUGGGAAGAUACAAUGAAAGAUGAACUGGAACGUGAAAAAUAUCCUCGUAUGCCUUGGCAUGAUGUUCAUUGUGCCCUUUGGGGACCACCUUGUCGUGAUAUUGCUAGGCACUUUGUUCAGCGAUGGAAUUAUGCUAAGGUUAGGUUUUGUCAAUAAUUACAUUGAAGUCUCAAAUAUUCCGGUACAUUCCUAUAUUCCCAAUUGGAAAUCAUGUUUCUUUCUUCUUUUCCACAUCAGAGGAGCAAAGCUCCAUAUGAGCAAGCGAUACCAUUACUUAUGCCUCAGCAUCAUAUGGUUAUUCCACACUACUUGGGAGGAAGCAGAGAGAUCCAGAUUGAAAGCAGUAACACUGACAAUUAUAAACUCAUUAAACGACAAGGUUCAUUUUCCUCAUCAUCCCUAGAUCAUGAUAUUCCUCUACUCUUGCCUAGGGAGCCUGGUGAGCUGAAUACUCUUGAUGGAGACCCAAAAUUGAAUGGGGUAAGCUCCUUCUCACAUCACCUUGACAAGCCAAGCAGGGUCAGCAGUGGUCUUCCUUUCUCUUUCCGGAAGGCCAAAAGUGAAGCUAGUGGUUCAGAUACACCAAUGAAGGGCUUUGUAGAUGAUAUUGACUCUGUUCAUUACCGUGAGAAAAUGUCUCUAGAUAGAGUGGCUCAUGUUGAUUUACAAAAUACAGACCCUGCAUGGUGGGAAACACAGGAGCGGGGUGAUCAGGGAGGCUUUGAAGAUGAAUCAGGACAAGUUGGUCCCCGUGCUUCCUGCCGUUGUCAGGUCUGUUGUUCUCAUAUUGCUGAAGUGUUCCUAGCCUACAUAAAAUAUAGUAGUCAAUGACUUAAAUAAAAUAUCCGGCAGCACAACGGUAAGGUUGUUUGCCUUGUGACCUGGAGGUCAUAAGUUCAAAUCAUUAAAACAAUCUCUUCACUUGUGAGCGUAAGACUGCUUACACCUACCUUCCCUAGACCCCACUAGGUGGAAAUCUCGUGCGCUGGGCCACUCUUUUUAUACUUUUAAUAUGACCAUCUAACCAAGAGGUGCAUUAAAAUGUAUUAAAUGCUAAUUUUAUCAUUAAAUAUUAAUUAUUAAGAGAAGUCAGGUAUUUUUGGGAACCUCUUAAUUUGACCAAUUCCUUUUCUCUCUCGAUGCACAGAGUAAAAUCCAUGGGAAGCCUGGUCUUCCAUAUUUGGGUGAAGAUUGAUUUUCAUGAGGAUGCAUUAUAUGAUUUUAUAAUUACUUGUGUUCUUUUUCAUCACUUUUAUGCUGUUAGUUUCUUUUUGUAUUGGCCAUUAUAUUUUCUACCAUUAACAGCCUUCAACUGAUAGGUUAUUAGGAGUGUUAGUCAAUGGUCUGCUGGAACAAGCCAAACCGAAGAGAGCAUCCACAAUGCUUAUUGCUCUCUUAUUGAGAAAGCAGAGUACUUCAUCUACAUCGAGGUAUUAAAUAAACUCCCUCCCUUUAUCACUUCUUCACUGAAUGUGAUGCAAUUUUUAAACAGUGAUGGUUCUUUAGAUAAUCAUACCAAAAGUGGCUUUGUUUUGUAUUUUUAGUUAUAAAACCUAUCCAGAAGCUUUCAAUUAGAUUGAAUAUAAGAACAAAAGAACAUGGGUAAUGAUUACUUUAAUUACCUUUUAGUAUUUCUCAUAGUAACUGAAGUGCUAUUAUUUUAAACGUUUUUGAAUAUUUUGCCAAUUUGCACAUAAUAUUUCAGCUUUCAGGUCAGGCUUUGGCUCCAGUAUCUAUAAUGGUCUUGUUUAAGAUGAUGAUUAUAUCCUAUGCUUAAACACACAAUAAUUUCUUGUACAAUGCUAGAUUUUAGAUGCAGGGUAUCUGGUUAUCGUUAUCACUUAAAUUUAAAGAAAAAAUGUUUUAUUUAUUUAUUUAUUUGAAUAGAGUUUAAGAUGAAGAUUGUUCUUAUUUGAAUGCAAAGUUGAUCUCAUGACUGUAUCUUGUUUUUUUUCAUUAUAUAUGCAUGUGUGGUUGUUGGAUAAAAUAAAGUAGCGGGGACCUUCAUUUGUCUAAGAAUAAAUAGGCGUGUCAGCUCAUUCUCUGAAAAGCUGGCAAACAAUUCUAUCAAUCUAACAUUUUUCCUAUUUUUAUGAAAAUAAUGAAAUAAAAUAUACAAAAGAAAACAUAAAAUAAUCUCAGAUUUAUUGAACUUAAAUAAUCAGUCAUUUAUAUUUAUGUAAAGAAAUCCUGUAUUAGCAUUGGUUCUGAAUUAAUUUUCAUUCAAAUAAGGUUUAAUUUUUUAUUGGUUUGCAACUAGUUCCAUCUUGCAUCAUUUCAAGUAGUUUUGGAAGUUGCUGAAAACCCAUUCCUUUUUUAAAUUUAAAGAGAGAAAAUGCAUGCCUAAAAAUAUUUGGACUUUCUCUUUACACCUUUCAUUGCAAGUGUGCCUCUUCCAGUUUUGAGAAGGCAUAUCUAGUUAAAUUUGCUUUGUUUGCUGAUAAUCGUAACGACCCUGCUAUAUAUAUAACUUGUAAUAUAUAUUGUGCAUUGCAUUUUAUGGACAUUAUAUAUCUGCCCCCUCCGCUCUACACUUUGUUGUGUGUAAAGGGGUAGUUCUAUUGUUUUAUCUCUUCCCCAGUCUGUUCUGGACCUGUCUCUGAUUCAUCUAUUUCACCCUUGGGAAAUUGUUCCAGAAUCAAUUUUUUAUUUCAGGUCUUUCUGGAGAUGAGAUGAUACGAAAUCGUGUGUUAGAAGCUUUGUACCGACGGAUUAUGCGAGCUUACAAUGACAAAAAAUCUUUUCGUGUUAUAAUUGUCAUACCUCUCCUGCCUGGCUUCCAGGUUAUUAAUUAAUUUUUUUCCCGUUUUGACACAGUGAAUUUUGUUUUCGAAUGAUGUUGGACUUACUUUUCUGUUAUCUAGGGGGGCCUUGAUGAUAGUGGUGCAGCAUCUGUGAGAGCCAUAAUGCAUUGGCAGUAUCGAACUAUUUGCAGAGGGCAAGAUUCUAUAUUACAUAAUCUUUAUGGACUUCUUGGUUUAAGAAUACAUGACUACAUCUCUUUUUAUGGCCUGAGAUCUUAUGGUAGACUCUCUGCCAGUGGUCCUGUGGCAACCAGCCAGGUAUUCUUUUACAUCUAUUGUCUUAUACUUAACUACUUUCAGUCAGCUUAAUGAACUAUUCAUUUUUGCAGGUAUAUGUUCACAGUAAAAUCAUGAUUGUUGAUGAUUGUACAACUUUGAUAGGAUCUGCUAAUAUUAAUGAUAGGAGCUUACUUGGCGCCAGAGAUUCUGAGGUAUUCUUCCAAGCCUUCUUCCCAUCAUUUGCUGUGUAAGUUUGAUUGGCGCUUUUGACAUACCGAUUCACUCUCACUGUCCUUCAUUUCAUGAACUCACAUUCUAACAAUUUAUCAAGUGAACCACGUAUGUUCCAUUUCAUUUGUCAGGAUUUAUUUUAAAGCAUCCUAGAUGAUUCUCUGAGGAUUUAUUUCCUCUUUAUAUUCUCUAAUUUGUAUCCUUAUUUAAUUAGGAUAGAGGUCUACUAUUACUAUUUGGUUUGUCUUUUGUGUCACAUCAUAUGGCAUCAAAUCAAUCACAUAUCACAUAAUUCUAUCAAUAUUAUUAUGAUUUUGUAGUCGCCUCUCUCUUCCUUAUUCCCUACCUCUAAACCUCAUUCAUAUAUUUUGCAAUGAAGGCAUUUAAUAUCUAGUUAGUCUUUUCGCUUCUAAAUAUAUUUAACUGGAAAGUUUUGGGGGGCACACUGCAAAUUAAAUCGCCGAUGUUCUAUGUAACUUCGAAUUUCAUUCCACGGUUUUGCAAUUAUCACAAAACUUAAACACAACUACUUAAUUUAAAAUAUAUAACUAAUUUAAUGAAAGAAUAAUUUCAACUGAUUAGUAUAUAUUACUGCCAACAUUGUUCCUUUUUAGUCACUCUUAAAAUUUGUUUCUUGAAUCAACUGAUUAAUAUGAUAAUUUUACUAUUUGCUUCAUUUUAGAAAUUUUUAUUUUACUUUUAAAACUAUCUUAAUUGUUGCAAUUGACCUUCUAUCCCCCUUCAUAUGGAUAUGGAUUUCAGAUUGGUGUAGUUAUAGAAGACAGAGAGUUUGUCAGUUCUUACAUGGAUGGAAAGCCUUGGAAAGCAGGAAAGUUUUCCUUGACUCUCCGUUUGUCGUUAUGGGCUGAGCACUUAGGUUUAAAAGCAGGAGAGGUUAGUGACUUUCCCUUCUCUGGAGAUUAGUUGUUUCGUGUGCCUGGUUUGUAAGGAUUACUUAAAAAUCUUUUGUUCCUUAGGUCAAUCAAAUAAUGGACCCAGUUAUCGAGUCAACUUACAAGGAUAUUUGGAUGGCAACAGCAAAGGUAAUAAGAAAAAUAUGUACAUGUAUAAUUGUAUAUUGUUAAUUUGACCAGUAAGGCUUUUUGUAUGAAAAAUGGUGCUUUAAGUGACAUUCUUUUAAAAUUACUUACGGAUGAACAUUUCCUACCGUAAAACCUAUUCUUUUUAUAUUAAUUCUCACAUAAAUAAUUAUCCUUGGAAAGCAUCUCAUCAUUAUCCAAGAAAGAACAUACUAGUGGCCUCUGCCUUUUUAAUUAUGUCGUUGUUCUUACACAUAGUGGAGGAUUCAGGGCUAGAGUUUAUGGCCCUGAUGCAAGUUUGCCAGUUCAUUGUGUUUUGUUUUUUUUAAUAAAAAAAUGUUGUUUUAGGAGGACAUAUCUAAUCUACUUCAUCUUGUCUUCAAUAAAAUUUCAUUAAGAGGUGUUCCUUAUAUUUUAUUCCUUCUUAAUUUAGUCAUUUAUUAGCGAAAGGUGUAUCUGUAUGUGCUAAGCAUUAAAGUGAAGUAGUGAACUACUUUCAGUAAAGAGAUUCCUGGUAAAAAUGUUUAUUGUUCAAGAAGUACUGACCACUUUUACUCGUUUUAGCCCAAUUCCCUUUGGGGAGUUAUUCUGAAUUAAAGAUUGCAUUACAAUGUAGUUGUUUCAGACAUUUAUGUUAGUAACUUCGUAAACAAUUUGGACGUACCGUCUUUUCUUUCUGUUUAACCAAAUAUAAAUACAACAUACACGGAUACAUUCUUGCAUUCUUUUACCCACUGUCUUUUCGAGGAUCAAAUACUUCUUAAAUCACACACUAAUAAUGUUUGUGAUUAACUGAAUAAGAAAUAAUUGCUUAAAUAAGAAUAUUAACAGUUCUCCAUUGAUACAUUUAUGCAGACAAAUACUACAAUUUACCAGGAUGUCUUUUGUUGUGUGCCUAAUGAUCUAAUACACAGCAGGUAUAUCCGCGAUAAUUUUCGUCCUUUCAUCUUGGGUGACACAUGUUCCUGUCUUUUGUUCUAACAUACAUUUCAAAUCCUAUGUUUCUGCAGAGUUGCCUUCAGACAAAGCUUAGCUUUUUGGAAAGAAAAAAUUGGUCACACUACCAUUGAUUUAGGAAUAGCCCAAGAUAAAAUAGAAUCCUACCAUAAUGGUGAUAUCAAGCACACUGAUCCCUUGGAUAGAUUAGCAUCAGUGAGGGGUCAUCUUGUUUCAUUUCCCUUGGAGUUCAUGUGCCAAGAAAAUCUAAGACCAGCUUUUAACGAAAGCGAAUACUAUGCCUCUCAAGUUUUCCAUUGAGUACAAUGUCUGAGCAUAUAAAAGAUCAACAGUAUAUAUAUUUUAAAUUUAUACAGGGCUUUUUUAAUUUAUUACUUGCAGAAUUUUCUUUUUAUUACAAUUCUGCGAGCAUAGAGAUGCCAGGGAGGAGGGAUGAAGGUAUAAUAAUGGUAUUUUUGUAAGGUAUGUAUUUAUAAUUGAGUACUGUACAAAAUUCAUCAGUUUAAUUUUCAUAGAUAAAAGAUCAGUUCAGGAAUAUAUACACUGAUGUGUACUUUAUACUUUGUAUCAAUAAAAAUACAGUAAAAAUUCAUCAACCAUCUAUCUAACAAUUUGCUAUGUUUCUUUCCCAAUCUCACUGUAUUGCUACAUCAUUUUUAUGUUUCUUGCAUUUUUUUUGUAUAGUUAAUUUUUGAAAUUAUGGAUUAAUAUAGUAAUAAUUCUGAGACAUGUUGGUAUUUGCAGUCAGAAAAUAUAGUGCACAAUGAGAAGGGGGGAGAUAAGUAUUCACAAGCAAAUUUGCUUAUUUCCCAUCAAGAUGUUAGCUUGAACAUUUUUGUACUCAAUUAACACAAUGUAGCUGAAAUAUUUUGGUUUAGGACUAAUUGCAUUUUGUUAUAGAUUUGUCAUGAGUUAAGCAACAAUAUGAUUAGGAUUGUUCAAAACUGUAUAUAACUAUUGUGAAGUGUUUGAGGCUUCCACUUACCUAGAAGAAUAAAAUGAAACAACUAAUUGGCAACACAUAUACAUAGUACAAUAGCAUUAGACUUUGUUAUGAGAAACACCAUAGUGCUGCACUUCCAUUUUCAAUUAAAGGCAACAGUUCUAAAGCACGGUAAUGCAAAAGGGAUGUUUUAUUAAACUGAAAGCAGUUUAAUCAGUGAUGAAUUAUUUAAUCAAAGGAGAAAUGUAUGUACAACACAAUUGAAAAAAAAAUGGAUGGAUUGGUUCAUUCACUAACACUUGAUGUCUUCCUUGUUACUAAGGGCAACCUUCAAAUUUUCUGUCUGAGUGAUCCUCAUGCCAAGCAAAAUGAAGAAUGUGAUUAGUUCAGCAGUGUUUAAGGUCUACAAAACACAAAAGACACAUGCUUAUGUGACAAUUGGAUGUGGCUUUGAUGUCACAUACAUUAUCAAUUAGAAUAUUUCUAAAUGAAUAAAUUCAUCCAAAUCUUUCUAAUUACAAUAUUGAUAGAAUUACAAUAUAAGAUAACACUUAAGCCUUCAUUUCAUUAGCUGGAUCAACUACACAAAUUGAACGAUGUCAUAAUCUGUCGUCAUAAAUUUAAUUGACUUCAUACUUGCUAUUUUUUAGUAAUAUGAAGGGUAUACUUUCACCCUAUGGGUAAUGAACUAAUCUCUACCGAUGUGUGUAAUUAUCCUCCCAACAAAUGUAUAUCUCAGAAAUUGAACUUUUAGUCAUCUUACGAUACUUGACACAACUACAUCAUUAGACCAACGCAUUUAUGACACUUCAUACUUCCUAUGUUCGAUAUUAAGAGAAUUUUUGGAAGAUGUUAAAAUAAUAUAACAAAACUCAAGUAUGUAUAUCUCAGAAAUUGAACUUUUAGUCAUCUUACGAUACUUGACACAACUACAUCAUUAGACCAACGCAUUUAUGACACUUCAUACUUCCUAUGUUCGAUAUUAAGAGAAUUUUUGGAAGAUGUUAAAAUAAUAUAACAAAACUCAAGUAAGAAUGCUAAGAUCUUUAAGAAAAAACACUAUGUUAAGAGUAAAAUACUCUAAUCCAUCAACACCCUGUAUGAAAGAGUGGUCAACUAUCUCUUUUUCUAUUUUUUCUUCUUCCAACAACCCACUCUACCACUGCACCUUUUCCACCACGUUACCAUUAAACGCUGUCGUUUUGCUCCAUCCCAUUCGCAAUUUGCAAAACAACAAUCGAACACAAAGAUUUCAACUUUUUCUCAAACCCUCUCACCCACAACGGCUAAUCUUAACUCCUUGCUUAAUCCCAAACCCUAAUUCAAAAAUCCCUUCAUUUUUCGCCACUGGGUCUUCUGAUCCAACCUCUCUGAACUCGUGUAGUGGCCAAAAAUGUCAUCUUUAAGCAGAGAACUCGUUUUCCUCAUCCUUCAAUUUCUCGAUGAAGAGAAAUUCAAGGACACUGUGUGCAAGUAAUCUACCCAUUUUAAUUUUAUUUAUUUAUUUUUCAUUAUUUAUUUGUUGUUGUUGUUGUAUUUAUAAGAUGUUAAAUUGGAAAUUGGUAUUUGUGUGUAAUGGAUUUUAAGGUUGGAGCAAGAAUCAGGUUUCUUAUUCAAUGUGAAGCAUUUUGAAGAGAAAGCCUUAGCUGGAGAGUGGGAUGAGGUUGAGAAAUACCUCUCUGGAUUCACCAAAGUUGAUGACAAUCGAUACUCUAUGAAGAUUUUCUUUGAGAUUAGGAAACAAAAGUAUAUUGAAGCCUUGGACAGGUUCAUUCAUUUUCUUUAUUGCUACUGCUUCUAUCUACAAUGAUAGUUGUAGCUACUUAGUUAUCCCAUUUAUACUCAUUUGUCUGUUAGUAUUACAACUUAUUAGUAGAUAGGGGGAAUACAACCAACAAGACGUUGAUCUAGUGGUGUAAGGCCUCGGUAGAUCCCCAGAACGACCAAAAGGUCGAGGGUUCAGUUCCUGGGAGCGACACUUGUUGGGAGGGGCAGCCGCGCACCCCGAAAUGAUUAGUUCCUUACCAAAAGGUGAGGGGAUACCCUUGGUAGUACUAAAAAAAAGAUAGGGGGAUUACACUGACCACUCAUAUUAUAACUUAUAUUAGAUUGGUUUAAUUAUGUUACACCUGAGUGACCCGACAUCGAUCUUGUUUCCGAAAUUACUCCAGGUUUGUACUUACUGGCCUCCUCUAAAAGGAAGGUGUGUGUAAAGAAGUGAGUGUAACUUAUGAAACAAAAGAGGUGUAUGAUGUAAUUAAGUCAAACUCAAAUCUCAGGGGAGGUCAUUGUAGUUUCGCUGAGUAUAUAAGACUUCUAAGUUCUUUUGUCGUAUUCUCAUUCAUAAAAUUUCAUGGUUUGUGCUUAGGCGUGACAAAGCCAGGGCUGUUGAAAUACUGGUGAAUGAUUUAAAAGUUUUCUCAACAUUGAACGAAGACUUGUACAGAGAAAUUACACAUCUUUUAACGCUUGACAACUUCAGGUGAUCUUUGCUCUCAAUUUUUCAUAUGGUGUUGUUGACUAGUGGGAUAAAGGCUUGGUUGUUGUUGUUGACUAAGGAAUAGGGAUUGGAAGAUCAGAGAUGUUAAGCGGGUUCUCUCUUAAAUAUACAUUUAUAUUAAAUGCAGGGAAAAUGAACAGUUGUCAAAAUAUGGUGAUACUAAAUCAGCUCGGAACAUAAUGCUGGUAGAGCUUAAGAAAUUGAUAGAAGCAAAUCCUCUCUUUAGAGAUAAGCUUGCAUUUCCUUCAUUGAGUUCAUCACGAUUACGAACCCUGAUUAAUCAAAGGUAAAUAUAGGUACAUUCAACUUCUAUAUGUAUUUGGCUUUGCAUAUACGAUAGUUCCGUUCGCAAACUGCCUUAUCUCUUUUAAUAUGGUUCAAGUUUUUGUUUUAAUCUGUGUUUACCUCUCCUAUUAUUUGUAACUUCACUAAUCAUUUUCUUAGUAAUUUCUUGUCAAUUUUUUCUAUCAGUUUGAAUUGGCAGCAUCAACAGUGCAAUAAUCGAUUGCCAAAUCCAGACAUUAAAACUCUACUUAGUGAUCACACUUGUUCACCUUCAAAUGGAGCUCGCGCAGCUACUCCUGUCACUUUUCCUGUCGCAUCUGGUUCAAAGCCUUUAUCUUAUGAUCCACUAGGAGCACAUGGUGGAGUAUGACCUUAGCUCUUUCAGUUGGUUGACUGUUUAGUGCUGACAUUAUUAGUAAUGUAAUCUUCUUGCAUCGGGAUGUUUAAUUUACUCUAGUUACCCACUUUUGUGCAGCCGUUUCCACCAGCAGCUGCUAAUGUUAAUGCUUUAGCGGGAUGGAUGGUGAAUGCUAACCCCUCCUCAUCUGUCCAAUCACCAUUUUUUGCUGCUUCACCAUUUCCUGUUCCCCCGAGUCAAGGUAUAGCUUGGUCAGUUUGUUGUCAUGUAAUCUGCGACAAAAAACCAUAAUAAGAAGUAACAAAUAUUCCAGUAUACUACUGCCAUAUUUAUGAAUAUAAGAAAAUGCAUAUGUUCAAUAUGUAUGCUCUUAUUUUAAUUUUUCUGAGGCUUUGUAGGGGGAAUAUGAUACUUUUGUGUGCGUGUGUUGGCAGUAGAUAGAAUUGAAAAUUUAUUUGCUCUAGAGAUUUACAUUCACAUCCUUCUCAUAUAUGUUCAGUGGACAAUACCCAGUCUUCAAGGGUUGUUCAGCAUCUAAUAACCUUAGCAAUGCAUACUAAACUCUCUUGUAAUGACUUCCUAUAGAUUGACCUCAUUUUCCUUUCAUUUAGUGCAAAGGGUAAUCUUUUUAUUCUUUGUUGAUAAUUUCUCCCUUAUAGAAAGCUGCUUCUUUAUUUUAAUGUUGAAAGUUAUAUGGGUGUAAUUGUUGUUUCAACAUUUUAUCUUCAUAGUGUUCUUGUCCAAUAGUUAAACCAGAUGAUAAAAAAAGGGCGUCCCAAUAUACAAGACUCCCAUUAUUUCGGUCCUGAUAGUCAUUUAUUCAAUCAGUGGAUAGGAGGAUACUCUGGAUCGGAAUUGUAGGGCGUACUGUCUGAUUUUUUCUACCAACUUAAAGCCCAAAUUAAUAUUCUUUUCCGAUUAUGCGUAAAAGUUCUUUUUGAUAAUUUACGUAAUCUGCGUGGGGUCUGGGGAGGGUAGAUGUAUGUAACCUUACCCUCACAAGUGAAGAGUCUAUUUCCCGGACUUGGACCCAUGACCUCCAGGUCACAAGGCAAACAACCUUACCAUUGAACUGAGGCUCAUCCUCUAGAUGAAUAACUAGUAUAGUAUUUUCAUUGUCAGUUCUCUCAUACAUUUUGGAGUUUUGGACAAGUAAAUCCUGUGAUGUUUGUUUGUCUCCUCCAUGGUCAAGUUCACACGUUAUUCAAUUUCUUGCAGUCUCUGCUUUGAAGCAUUCAAGAACACCUUCUAAUGCCCUUGGAAUGAUGGAUUAUCAAAAUAACGAUCAUGAGCAGCAACUAAUGAAACGAGUGCGAUCUGCACAGUCUGUUGAUGACGUACUAAUCCACCACAGUGCCCACUUUUCUUUUUCAUGCUGUUGUAUUGCCAUUCCUAUAGUGCCAACUCUUUACAAUAUGUGCAGGUCACAUAUGCCGCUCCCCCUCAACAAGCCUCUUCAUCACUUGAUGACCUUCCUAGAACUGUUGUUUGUACCUUACAUCAGGGAUCAACAGUGAUAAGCAUGGAUUUCCAUCCAUCGUUUCAAUCACUACUAGCUGGUAGGUUGAAAUAGACUGCUAUGUCUUGUACCCUAAAGAAGUUAAGUAUUAUAUGGUUUACAAAAAUAACUUCUGAAACAGUUGGUUGCAGAAAUGGUGAAGUUUCACUCUGGGAAGCAGGGCUGAGAAAGAGGCUGAUAUCAAAGCCUUUCAAAAUAUUGAAUAUUUCCGCUUGUUCUGCCUUAUUUCAGGUUUAUCUUACAUUAUUCAACUGCAUAAUUGUGAAUGGAUAGAUCAUGGAUCUGUCUAAAGUCGACUAAAAAAUAAUAUUAUUGUCCAUAGUGGCCUACUGGCCUUGCAUUGUGCAAUAAUGAGCUUUAGGCAUUUAGCAUGGGGGUGGGAUUGUGGUGGCAGGAAUGACCUCUAGGCAAUUAGCAUAUGGCUGUCCACAGUAGCUUAAUAGUAUUAAGAAUAUGAGACAGGAAAGAACGUAUAAUUCGGGGAAUGUUUAGUAUGGACAGCUUUUAAAUUAUAAAUGAACAAAGGCUGGUGUUCAUUGGCUGCACAAUAUCUGCUCAAUUUUUAAAUUUAACUACACCCUUUCCUCUAGCAUACGUUCAAGCCUUAUGGUAUUUCGUCAUUUCACUUCUUCUCAUGAAAUUGUCUCUUACAAAGUAAAUUUCUUUUCAUAUAAGUGCCAGAUUUCUUUUACCUGAUAUGCUGAAAUUUAGUAAUUGGGACUCUUGUACAGGCUCUAACUAUGAAAGACUUGUCUAUCUCUGUCAACCGUGUAUCAUGGAGUCCAGAUGGGAAUUUUAUUGGUAAGUACUGUAAGUAAACUUGGUCCAGUCUGUUGUGUUAUUCCUGGUUUACAAUAUAUUUUCCCUUCUUUUCAGGGAUUGCUUUCACAAAACAUUUGAUUCAUUUGUAUGCUUAUCAAGCGCUUAAUGACCUACAGCAGCAUUUGGAGGCAUGUCCCUGUGAAUUUUGAUUUGAACUAAUAAAGUGAUACAAUUUUUUUGGUAAUUUUUGCAUUCUGACUAAUGUCUUUGCUUCAGUACAGAUUGAUGCUCAUGUUGGUGGUGUCAAUGACUUGGCGUUUUCUCAUCUAAACAAACAGCUAUGCAUUGUAACUUGUGGAGAUGACAAGUUAGUAAAGGUGACAGAAAAGUUUCUGGCCUAUGACAUCUUUAGAAAAAUGAAUUUAUCCUUUAUUGUUAAUUUUUAGAAGAGUGUGACAGGUAUGGGAUUUAACUGGACGGAAGCUCUUUAACUUUGAAGGUCAUGAAGCACCUGUUUAUUCUGUUUGCCCUCACCAGAAGGACAAGACCCAGGUAAAGUGUCCAAACAACCUAUGAAACCAAAAGGCCUUGUUUGUUUCAUAAAUAUUUUGGUAAAGAAAAAAUUAGAAUCUUAAAAAAUUUAGGAUUAAAUUUGACCAUAACACUGCAAGAUGUAAUGCAAGCCAAUUUCCUGGGCACCAGCAUUAUUCUGUCUUUGCUUUUGUACAGCCAUAACCUUGUUCCAUUUGUUGUCUAUUCUGGAAAGAUUCUUGGUAAAGAUUUGUAGAGGCAAUUGGUCUUAUUACUUCCUUGUAAAGGUUGUUGCAAUGAAUGAUUGACUGGUAAAAGUUAUGACAUCAUGUUUGCAGUUUAUACUUUCAACUGCUUUUGAUGGGAAAAUCAAGGCCUGGUUGUAUGAUAAUAAUGGCUCCAGAGUGGACUAUGAUGCUCCUGGACAGUGGUGCACCACAAUGCUCUAUAGCUCUGAUGGAAGUAGGUAAGAAAAUCAAGCAUGAUUCUGGAAAUACAUCCACUUAAUCUUAUACAUUUUUUAGUUUUUUUUGUCUGAAGUGUUAAUGUGUGUUGUAACGGCUCUUUCCUAUUUUAGAUUGUUCUCUUGUGGGACAAGUAAAGAUCGAGAUUAUUUCCUAGUUGAGUGGAACGAAAGCGAAGGAACACUAAAGAGAACAUAUUCUGGGUUUAGAAAGCAAUUUACUGGCAUUGUGCAAUUUGACACAUCAAAGAAUCGCUUUUUGGCUGUUGGUGAAGACAACCAGAUAAAGUUUUGGGAUAUGGACAAUAUCAACAUUCUAACUAGUACACAUGCCGAGGGUGGUCUUCUUGUGAGUAUUCCCUUUACUUUCAAUUUUUGACACUUUUCUUAGAGCAUUGUUUGACAUGGUUGAUGUCUUGCAUUAGAGUCUCCCUCGCUUGAGGUUCAAUAAGGAAGGAAACCUGCUUGCUGCUACUACAGAUGAUAAUGGUUUUAAAAUUCUUGCUAAUGCUGAUGGCAUCAAGUACUUAAGGGCCAUUGAAGCCCGGUCUUUUGAAUCACCAAAAGCACCUGUUGAGACAAAGGUUUGUUGUCUGCCUUAAUUAUCAAUCUUCACUAUCUGCUUCCUUACCAAAUAUCAUUUUCUGGUUUAUAUUAAUGUCCAAGUUUUGAAUUAUUCUAAAUGAAUCAGGGAUUAGGGUCUUCUGUGGUUGUAAAUAUCAAUCCGCUCACCAAUAAAGUAGAACAUGUAGACCAAAGCUCUCCUUUUCGGCAUGCACCAAUCCUUGUAAGAUAUAAACUACAAAAUAUGUGGGUUGAUACUUCAUUUAAGAUUUAUAACAUUCUUAUAUUAUGAAAUAUUUUAGUGUGAACAUCAAAUACAAAUUAUGCAUUCUUUUUCUAUAAACUAAAUUACGGUGUACAUGGUUUUAUACUACAGCAGUUAUGCCUAGGCAUCUUAUGGAGUUCUGGUCUGUUAGACAAGUAGGUGUUCAACUCACUCGUUUUGUUGAUAUUUUUAUUCCAGAAUGGAGUUGAUUCUAUCACUAGAAGCAUAGAUAGAAAAAGAAGUUUGGAUGAUUUAUCUGACAAAUCUAAAGCUUGGGAAUUGACAGAAAUAGUUGAUCCUGUUCAGUGUCGAACAGUUACUAUGCCAGACAGUAUGGGUUCCAGUAACAAGGUAUUCCCUGCCAACCUAUUUUAUGUAUAGGAUGUUUAAAUAAUUUAUUUUUAUUUUAUAUCAAUAAUUUUAUGAUCAUAAAAUCCUUUACAUUUUUUUUCAAGGUUGCUCGUCUUCUUUACACAAAUUCUGGGGUUGGGCUUCUGGCUCUUGGUUCAAAAGGGAUUCAGAGGCUGUGGAAAUGGAGCCGCAAUGAACUGAAUCCUAGUGGAAAGGUAAUUGUAUGCUGAAAGACCCUCAGAUGCGGAACCACUUUCCCGUUGCUUUAUAAUGGGUAUCCUGAUGCCCAUGUUUCUAUUGCAUAUGAUAAGAGUAUGCAUGUUUGUUGAUGGGUAUGAUACUUUCAUGUUAGCAUUUCUGACUCUUUUUUGUGUGGAUUUACAGGCCACGGCAAGCGUUGUUCCACAACAUUGGCAACCGCCAAAUGGUGUUCUCAUGACUAAUGAUGUCCCGGAAAAUUCUGAAGCAGCAGUUCCUUGCAUAGCACUCUCAAAAAAUGAUUCCUAUGUUAUGUCUGCCUGUGGACGGAAAAUUUCACUUUUCAACAUGACGACAUUUAAGGUAAUAUGACGGUUUUUAUGGUAAUAUAGUGUGUAUCAUCACUUGUAGCCUUUAUCCAGAUGUAUCUCAGUAUUUGAGCUUUGACAAACUAUUGCUAAAUUUCAGGUAAUGGCAACUUUUAUGUCGCCGCCCCCGACUUCAACCUUCCUUGCGUUUCACCCCCAAGAUAAUAACAUUGUUGCAAUUGGAAUGGAAGAUUCAGCCAUUCAUAUUUAUAAUGUUAGGGUGGAUGAGGUAAUUACUUUUAACAGCUCUAAAUUGUAAUUGUUUCGGGAAUCAUAUUAAUUGUGGGUGUGACCUCUCUGCCUUUAGGUAAAAUCAAAGUUGAAAAGUCACCAGAAGCACAUUACCGGUUUAGCUUUUUCAACUAAACUGAAUAUCUUGGUUUCAUCAGGUGCUGACGCUCAGGUAUGUUUAAGCAUGACUUCUGGUAGAAUAUUGGUUAUGUUGUUUAACUGUUAUUGGAUUGGGCUUGUACUGGCUGCCGAGUUGUUACUGCACUCUUCGGUGUUUAAUUUCAGUGUUAUAUUUAUAAUGAUUUCAGUGUUUAAUUUCACAAUUAUUCAGAAUCUUAUUACUUAAUUUAUGCUCUUUUCUAAUUUUUUAAGAGGGCCUCACUAUUUAAGGUCUUUGUUUCUAUCACCAGGUUACUUGGGUAGGGACGUAGGGUUACUAGUAUUUCGUGGAAUUUUUACUAGUGUACUACACUUGUAAUUGGCCUAGAAGAUUAAUAUAAAUGUGACUAAAAGGAAAACCUUUGUACUAUCCCGACAUUACUACUACUUAGAGUUUCACUACUUCAAUAUGUUCUCAGUUUUUCCCCUUUCCAUAUUUCCCCUAUAAUUUCAACAAUUUUCGUCGUCAUUUUAUAACUCGAGAUAUGUAGCUGUUUUGUGCGUUUGUCUUUAUGAACUUCUAAAGAUGAUUGAAUCUCUAUAUAUUUACUAUAUAUAUUUAUAAAAAACUAUUUUUAAUUUUUAAUUUCUUGAAGAAGGGAAAACUUUGGCUAUAUUUGUGAGCAUUUUUGUAGCUUGUCUUUUGGAGCAUUGACUCAUGGGAUGAGAAGAAAUCACUGUCAAUUCAAUUGCCAGCUGGAAAUGCACCUCAUGGUGAUACUCUAGUGCAAUUCCACAUUGAUCAAGUAAACUUGUUGGUAUGCCAUGAGUCGCAGUUAGCGAUAUAUGAUGCUUCAAGAAUGGAAUUGAUUCGGCAGGUAAGCAGUUACUCUCCCUUCCCCUCUCUACCCUGAAACAGAAACCCUCACACUAAACCUUUUACUUAUAUAUAUAUAUAUUGAGUUCUUAGUGAAUGAGCUAGUAAAAAUCUUUUUGUUCGGAUUAUAGUGGGUGCCACAAGAUGGGUUGUCUGCUUCGAUAUCCUCUGCUACGUAUUCCUGCAAUAGCCAACUAGUUUAUGCUGCUUUCACUGAUGGAAGCAUUGGAGUAUUUGAUGCUGACAGCCUGAGACUCCGAUGUCAUAUAGCUUCAUCCGCAUACCUACAUCAAACCUCAUCAAACAGGUCUUUGAACUUCUGCUUCAUAUGUAUUUCAACUUAUUCGAUUUUUUUUUACUGAAAUCCCAAUUAGAGAUGACUAUUUCUUUGUUAUUGCUACAAGCAAUGUUUUAAAAACUGGACCGAACUGAUUUGGUUAAACCAAUUAAGCCAAUCUCGAGUUCAGUUCUUAAGACAUCGGUUUGAAGUUUUGCAUUUUUAGCCGAAAUAUGCUUUAGACAUUUAAUUCAUGUUUCAUUUUUCAUGAUACUUGGCCAAGCUGUCUGAAAUUUUCUUAUUUGUUUUGUACACAGCCAAAAUGUAUAUCCUGUAGUUAUUACAGCACAUCCACAUGAAUCAAAUCAAAUUGCAGUUGGACUAUCAGAUGGAUCUAUUAAGGUUAUAGAGCCCAUAGAAUCUGAAGGAAGGUGGGGAAUUAAAGCACCUGUUGAUAAUGCCAUGCAGAAUGGUAGAACAGCAUCACCCUCACUCACAAAUAAUCACACUCCCCAACAGCUCCAAAGAUGAUAUAAUUCUUAUGCACCAUUUAAGUUAAGUUUCUUGUUGUACAAUAGUAAAACUGUUAAGAUGAAUGUUUGCAAGAAACCCUUUCUCGACAUAAACGUUGGUCUAGUCGGUAAGGAUUGAGCUCAUAUUCUGUGAGGUCGUGAGUUUAAAUCUUGUUGUCGAUGUUACGAUGUAAAUGUCUUCGAGGGCUCUGAGUCGUGAGGCCUGCUUUGUCCAUAGUAUGCCUUUGAGAUCCACUUAUGCAAACUUUUUUUACCAUAAGACUGAUAAAAUUUAUUAUUCCUUCAAAUAUCCACUGUCAUCUUUUAUUAUCAUUUGUGCUUACCUAUACUCUAGUAUUUUUUUUUAUGCUAGCGGAGCAGGACUAUAAAGAUUACAAAAUGAUUCCUACUAAGUAUUUAAUGAAUCUUUAUUUUUAGAGGGUUAGAAUUGGUGACAUCCUAUUAACUUAGGUUAUGCCUUUUUCAGCUUAUUUAUAUGCAUGGUGGCUCAAUGCUAUCUAUGUAAAUUUUAAAAGAAAAUAGCUUUCAUUAACAUUUUCCAAUUUUGCUACAGUUUUCACUCGAUCCGUGGCAGAAAUUAUUUGUUACCAUCUUAGGCUCUGAAUUCUCCAUCUUAGCAAAAUUUGGCACUGCAAUAAAUAUAUAUUGGUAUGGACAAAAUUGAUAUUAUCCUAAAAACUUGGUUUAAAACUCUUAGCCAUAGAAAAAGUGACAAGGGUUAUUGUCACAUCAAGUGAUAUAUAAGUUUAUAUGAGUAGAAAGUGAUAUAUAUAAGUUUAUAUUAUUAAUGCACAGAUAUUAUACUCAUGUGAAAAUGGAAUUGUUUGCAAAAUAAUCAUUAUAUUUUAUGUGGACCAACAUAACAUAAUAUGUCUAUUGUUUUUCUUGGAAUGUAAUCCACGCAUCAUGGUACCAAUCUAUGUUUAUUCCUGCUGUGAUAUACCUGUAAUAAGGUAGUUGUUUCUCAAAUUUUAUUUUGGGUAUGUGUCCUAUGAAUUUAUUAACUAAUUUUGUCAAAUAUAUCAACAUAUCCACUAUACAUCCCUGACUUUAGUCUAAAAAACAUUUUAGUAUUGAGUCAAGUUUUCAAUGAUUUUCCAAGACAGUGUUUGUAUCCCAAAAAAAGCAGACCUAUUUGUGUCCUAAUAAAACAUGCACUGCAACACAAAGGAAUGAAUGGGUUAUGCUUGAGUAGCUGUUAUACUCAUGACAACUGGUCCUUGUACAGGACAUUUAAGGGCAGUUACAUCUGUAAUGAAAUGACCCAACAAAGAAAAACAGAGAUUCCAAGUAAAGUUUCAGUUCUUAUGCUACUUUAAAUAGUCACAUUAAUCAUUACUUUCACCUAAAUACCACCAACUUUGAAAUUAGUGCUACCAACAAAAAUGUGCAAAUAUAUUAUACCCUCUUACUAGUAAUAAAUCAAUCAGCAUAAAGUUUUUUUUUGUUAACCAUAAUAAAAUGACGUGUUGGCUUUUACCCACAUGUACUAUAAAUAUUGAUAUAUUUCUAGUCUAAUUAUUUAGAAGAGAUUAAUUAUAUUAAUACUAUAGUUAUCCCCUAACAGACCCAGUCCUAGAAGUAGAGUGGCAAAGGGUAAGACUAUAACUUUUAGAGUAUGUCAGCGAGUUUAAUUUUAAAGGAAAAUUGAGGAUUUGAAAGUCAUAAAAUAUAUUUGUAAGAUGACUCAAAAAAUUUCAUUUUUCUGCAAAACUCAAGUUGCAAACAGACUCUUAGGAGUCUAACAUAUUAUAUUAUUUUAUUUAACCAAUAUAGCUCCCCUAUUAAAAAUAAAAACAGCACAUUUUUACUAUUUUUAUAUGAAAUAAAAAUAACACAUAUGGGUUAUAUAUAUAGAGAGAUAUAUAUAUAUAGAGAGAGAGAGAGGUGCAAUGUAAUAUGCUGUUGAACCCACCGCCCCACAUGGGAGCAAUAUACAGCAAUUUCACCUACAAUAGUCUAUUUUGGAUUUCCUAUCUAUUGGUAUAGUUUAAAAAGUCUCUGCCUAGUUAAUGGAGAUUUUUUCAGAUUUGAAUGUGAUGAGGGAAGGGUUUAAGAAAUAGAUGGAAAAUAUUGUGGGUUUGAGUCUCAUUCAUGACAAAUUAAAAAAAAGUUAUAAGGUGGUUUGAUGGUUAGAAUGAAUGGUUGAAAGGAAGGAGAUUGAGAGUUUGAGUUUUACCCAUAACGAAUAUUAACAUACUAAUACUUGUGGGCAAAAAAAAUAUGUGAAUCUCUUGUUAUGUGGAAUUCUUUUCCAUCGUUUAACUUUUAUUCCUUUUGUUCUAUUCUUCAUAGUUUUGUAUAUAUACUAAAGAUGCGUGUUAUAAAUUAAUAUUUGUUUUUUACUUGUCCAAAAUGAGUUCAAUAAAGACAAAAGUAAAACAUUCUUACUUCUUUUAAAAUCGUGAUUGUUGUCACAAUUAGGAAACCAUCAAAACAAAAAAUGUUACACCAUGAAUUAAGAUCGAUCAUUGAUCUUGAUUUAAAUCAUAGCUAAUAGUGAAUUAUGGUGACUUCUUCUUACGUCCUUGUCAUGGGAUGGACCAUGAUUUAUGAUUUUUCAUGUGUUGUUAGUUUUUCAACAAUCAUCCACGUGGAAUCGGCGGGCUUACAAAUGAGGUGAAUAUCAUCUGUCCGAAUGAUGUCUCAUUUCCCUGUACCAAGUCAAUUACAUAUUGACAAGUGAACUCUGAUUGACUUGAGAUAAGGAAUGAAAUAUCAUUUAGGUCAAGUGAUAUUUCUACUUACAAAUGGGAUUUCCUAAAAUCACGUCCUCAUUCAUUCAUGUGUCAUUCAAUCAAAUUUUGACAUUAUUAAAGAAAAUGAGUAGUGACUAGUGAGAAGAAAGUUGAAGUGUUAGAUGAAUUUUAUAUGAAUGUAAUAUCUAUAUAUGACGAAUAUAAAUAUUUAUAAGAAGUUAAUGUAAAUAUUUAUAUAUUGUCAAUGUACAGAUUUAUACACAGUCAAUAUAUCAUUUAAUAUUUAUUUGUAUUAUUUUUUUGAAGAGUCAACGAUGAUUAAAUAUGAAUUAUGAAAUAUCAAUGUAUAAAACUCCUACUUACAUUUUUUUCUUCCUGAUUUUAUAUUAUGUGUUAAAAUAAAUUGAAUAUAACAUUCUUAAUGACAUGAUUUUGGGACAUAUAAUCUCUUCCAUUUUAUUUAGCUAUAUACACUUAGGAGUAGGGAAUAGUGAAAUUAGAAAACUAUGUGCCACUCAUGUUCAAAGGAUGUCAUUCAAUAUAUAUGGAUAGGAAGGUGCAGCUUUAUUUCUUUCUCUCACUUGGUUCCUCAUGCUUCAAGUUUUCUUUUGUGGUUUUACUUUUAUUUUUUCCCAAAUUACAUUUUAUUAACUAUCAAAUUCUCACAUCACAUAAAAAUAUAAGUCAAUAUUAUUUAUAAGAGUGAAAUAUUUAUUUAUUGUUAGUAUAAAAAUUUAUAUGCGUAUAAUACAUUAUUUAUAAUUUAUUUGUAUUUUUAAGAGUCAAUAAUGAUGGAAAAUGGAUGAUUAAUUAUAAACUGAUAAGAUAUAAAACUCUUAUACCGUUGGUGCAUAUAUAUUUUUUCUUUUAUAAGAUAUUGGUUGUUCUACUUUUAUAAAAUAGCUUCUAGGAUAUCUAAGGAUAUGUAAGUUUGUCAUACAAGGAGACCUGAAAGUGUGCUAAGUGUUAAAGUCCUACAUGAAAAUAUAACCAAAAACCACUUAUAACUUGACUUGGGCAAUCCAUUAUGAAUUAGCUUUUGAGAUUAAGUGAUGAAUAUUAUUCUAAUAGAGUUUUAUAUAAAAUUAAAUCCCAAAUAAUUCAAAAUUAAUUUGAUUAAAGAUUGUUUCAAGGGAUACAAAAGUAGCACUAAUCCCUAAAAGUAAAAAUAGAUAGGUGCAAAUGUAUACCAAAUGGGGUGAGGAGCAUAUUCCAAAGGUUACCCAAGUAAGGGAAUAAACUUUUUGGUACUAUCAAGGGUAUUAUUUACUAUUUUGAGUAAGAAAUUAUUCUUUUUCGAAAUAUGUGUAUGUCAUUCUCAAUAAAUGUUGUUCUCUAAGUUUUAACUUUUAACUUUGUGAUCAUCUUCAGGAUCUAGCAAUACCUUAUACCAACAUUUUGUUGCUAAAACCUCUUAACUUGGUAAUAUAUAUAAAAUUUUGACAUAUAUAAAACUGUGUAAUUGUGCUACAUAUAAACACAACUUUAUAUUGAAUAUUUAAUACAGCUAAAUUGUAAAUAAAGCCUUGGAGUAAAUGCAUGUUUAGUUGUUAAUAUUUUGACUUAUUUUAGAAGCUUGGUUCCAUGGUUCAUGGUUGGUUGUGUCUAAUUUUUUAUUUUUUAGUUAUAAGAAUGUUCAGAAGAGGUGACAUAAAAUAUGAGUAGAAUAAAAAGAGUAGAAGUAUGUGAAGUGAAAUAGUUUACGAGUCGAGGCUAGCAUCUCUCUCCAUCGUUGGUGUGGGUCCCACUCUUUCCUUUCUCUCCUCUGUCGAUCCACAUGCGCCCCUCUCUCCUUUCUACUAGGGGAUGAGCAUAAUCUAGAUUGGGACGAGUUAAGUUUGUCCUUAUCCUAUCAUAAAUAUUGGUCGGAUAAUUUUUUUAAUCCUGGAUCCAACUCUAGACCCGAAGCUAAACCGAUCCUAAAUAACGACCAAUCCAACUUUUAAAUUUGAUCUGAUCCUAAACCUGAUUAAAUAUAAUACAUACUCAUUUUAUAUAAAAACUUCUCAAUAUUACUUAUUAUUAUGAAUAUGUAGUUUGAUAUAUAAAUUGAUAUAUAUAUAUAUAUAUAUGUGUAUUAUUAAUAAUAUAUAUAUAUAUAUUAUUAAUCAUGAAUAUAUUAUGAAAAAAUUAAAGAAUAAAUGAUACUUUUGACCAAAAAGGUAUUAUUACUCUAUACACAUUUGAGUAGAAACAUAUACAAACAUGAUAAGCAAGUGACCCUAGGAUGGGACGGGUCAAGUCAUACUUAGUCCUUAAUCCUAAAUAUUGACUGAGACUAUUUUUUGAACCCGGACACGACUAUAGACCCGAUCAAACCCGACCAUAUUCAGAUCCGAUCAUGAUCGGACCAUGCCGGGUGAGCGAGUAGGGUCGGGUCCUACUCAUCCCUACUUUUUAUACACCAUAGUAUAUACCAACCCCAUUCACUCCUUAACUUAUUUAUUCCAUAACUUUUUAAAUAUUUUGAUGGUAUAACUAAAGGUAUCUUUUAUUCUUUAUGUAUGGGCUUAAAUCUUUUUUGUACAAGUGAUUGUCCUCAAGAAUCAAAUUUUUAAUUUUUUGUUUUGCAUUAGAUCUAAUGAGAUAUUACUUAAAGAAAUUAUUAAAUAACAUAAAAUACACUUAUAAAUUAAAAGAAAUUAAUAAAUGUGUGCCUACACAGUUAAAAAAGUAAAGUAUAAAUAUUUAGUGAAAAUCUAAAACAUUAAAAAUAUAAAAUUACUCUCUAAUUAUUAUUAGAGAAUAAAUUAUCUCAUCAAAUCUGGACAUAACUUAUUUUCUUAAAUUUACUCAUUGUUUGAUAUAUAUAUCUUAUUUUUUAUUUUAUAAAAUAAUUUAAAAACAUAAGUUAUGUAUUUAUAUAAGAAAAUAUUUUACUUUUUUAUUAUUAUUAAUAGUAGUUCAAAUUUCUCACCCACCUCUUCAUCCUACCACGUGGCAAUCAAUGAUAGGGCCUCACAACUGCCAUGUGUCACUCAUGCAACUUUCCCUAUUAUCACUUCUCAUACACUAAUCAUAAUAUUAUGUAUUAUUAGUGUAAAGUUUCUUACACUCAUAACAUAUUAUUCACUGGUUCAUGAGUCAAUAUUAAUUAGUAUAUGAAUAGUAGAUGAUGUAUCAACAAUAUAAAAAAGCAAUUACAUUGUGUCUAUGUAUUAAAUUUAAAAACAAAAAAUCACUGAUUGUAUGAAAAAUAAGUUUACACUAUAGCUUUAAACCUAAAGAAACUAACUUCAAUAGUGGAGAGGGUCAUAUUCCCCUCAUAGUAUAAUUAGUGUAUAUGAAAGAAAAAUGAUAUAUCCUCUUACUAAUCCUCUUACCCAUGAAAAGAUGACAUGUGUCACAUAAGAUACUUUAUUGAUUAAUGAUUGGAUUACAAGUGACAUGUGUCAUUUUUUGUGUGGGUAGGAGAAUUAGUAUGAGGAUAUAACAAUGCUGUGUAUGAAAUCGUCUUAUCUAACUAUUUUAUAACUGUUUAAAUGCUUAAAUAUAUUAACAAACCCUCUUCAAAAUACUUUACAUUCAUAAACUUCAAUCUUAAUUAAUAAAUACAACUCAUAACCUACCCUUUUUCUGUUUUUUGUUCUACUCUCCCAUUCAUUCCACUCACUCAAUGUUCGGUUUUAGAACAUAGUUUAUUAUUGUCGGACAAAAUCAACACUUUUCUUAACAUGUUCUGAACAGUUCAUAAAGGUAACUGACAGUGGAAACAAACCCCACUCCUAAUCAACAAUUACUAAAUUUGUAGCAUAGUAAAAUGUUUGUGUCCAAGAGUUUUAAAAAAGUAAUAUCAAUCUCCUAAUUUGUGUAUGUUAAUUACAACUUUGUUUAAAAAUCUUACAUAUGAAACAAGAUUUUUGAAAAGUGUAUUAUAUUCAUAAUAAACCAAAAAGUUACAUAAAAAACGUAAUUAAGUAAUCAAACUAUAUAAAUUUUCCUCAGUAAAAGACUUUCCUCAAACGAUUUUGUCGGCCAGAUAUGUUAUUAAUCAUUGUUAUUGCUUUUUCUAAUUCUUAAAUAUAAUUAAUUUGUCAUUACAUCAGAAAUUUCUUACCAAAUAUUUGUCAUAUAUGAAAGGACCAUUAAUCUUCUCUUUUACUGUCAUAUGCAUGAUUAAUGCCUUAUAAUAAUUGUACUCAUAAAACUGCUCCAAGCUACCUAUAUUCCUGUGCAUUCUUCUGCUUCCUCCUUUUCCUUCUUUCUCUUUUUUCUCUCUGUUCCAGCUUUGACUCAAGAACAUGCUUGUAAGUACGUUUCUAAGGUUCAUUUUUUCUGAGUUUUAUUUCACUUCAUGGUGUCUUUUUCUUUACCUUAGAUUCAUUCCAAAUCCAGAAGGGGUUCUAAAGUUUCAAUCUUUGGUUGGAUUUUAGAUGUUACACGUGUUCCAUUCAUAUGGGGUAUCUUCUAUGUGUGUGAUAUUCAAUUUGGUUUUGGUUCCUUAUUUUCUUUUUAAUAUGCUUAUAUGGUAAUGGUUAUUGCUGUAGUUGGUGAACUUCAAUCAUAUUCCAUUCUAUUUGAUCUCAUAAACUUUAGCAUUUUUUGAUGUUCUUACUCAUGUGAUAUGUGUCAUUGUUCUCUCCACUCAAUGUAUAAUCUUUUGUAACUCAUCAAUUGUUACUAAUUGUGAUUAGCAUGUAAAUUUACAUUGUUCUAUUAUUUAUGCUAUGAUUUGUUUUCUUUUUCUAUCCAAUUCUUAUUGCAGAAUUGGUUUUAUUAACUUCUAUGAAGUGAAUUAUUUGCUCAAAGAAGAAACUCUUCAUCUCUAUUUACUAUGAUCGAUUCUCUUUCUCUAAAUCUCUCUUUUAAUUCUUAACACAUGAUAUAUUCUGAUGAUCAAUUAUAGAAUAUCUUCUCAGAUUCAUUGUUUUGCAUUUUCCUUUUUCUGUACCUUGUUUUUCAGGUGGCAUUGCUCUUGCUGCUGGUAUUGAGCAAUGCUGUUAGAAUUGAUGCAGAAGGUGGACAAUGUGUUUCAAAUCCAACAUUAGACCCAAGACCACACAGUGUCUCAAUUUCGGAGUUCGGCGCAGUUGGAGAUGGCAAAACACUCAACACUCUUGCAUUCCAAAAUGCCAUCUUUUAUCUCAAGUCAUUUGCUGACAAGGGUGGUGCUCAGCUAUAUGUACCACCAGGAAAAUGGCUCACUGGUAGUUUCAAUCUUACAAGCCAUCUCACCCUCUUUUUGGAAAAAGGUGCUGUCAUUAUUGGAUCUCAGGUAUUUUAGCUUUUCAUUACUUUUGUGUUUUUUAUACUGAGAGAUAAAUAAUUCAUGUUAAAAUUCCUAGCCUUUGGUUUUAAGUUUUAACCUUUUACAUGUUAUUCUUCUUUGUUUAGGAUCCGUCUCAUUGGGAUGUUGUUGCACCAUUACCUUCUUAUGGCCGAGGUCUUGAAGUUCCUGGUGGAAGAUAUCAGAGUUUGAUAAGUGGAUACAUGUUACAUGAUGUGGUCAUAACAGGUUUUUUCUACUUCCCAUACAACUUUUACCUUUGUCAUGAUUUUUUUAUUCUGGAAUGAUCUUUCAUAUCCUUUUGUGCUUGGUCAGGUAAUAAUGGAACCAUCGAUGGAACCGGAUCGGUUUGGUGGGACUUGUUUGACUCACAUUCCUUGAACUAUAGCCGUCCUCAUCUAGUUGAAAUUGUAGCAUCUGAAUUUGUGGUAGUUUCAAAUCUUACAUUCUUGAAUGCCCCUGCAUAUAGCAUCCACCCAGUUUAUUGCAGGUAAAUAUUAUGUGAUUGUUCGAGACAUUAUAUAAAAUGUCAUUUAAUUUGCAAACUCAUUGAUUUCGUUUAUAUGUAAUUUGAUGCAGCCAUGUACAUAUUCAAAAUGUUUCGAUUUCUGCUCCUCCAGAAUCCCCUUAUACGGUUGGUAUAGUACCAGGUUUGUAACAUAUUAUGGACUCUACUUUUGGCCCACAUUAUGAGAGUGACAUUGCUUCUCAAAUAUUCAGUACUUUAUAGAGCGUCAUUUAGCUAACGUUUGUGCACUACGCGUUUUCAGAUUCUUCAGAUAGUGUUUGUAUAGAAGAUUGUGUUGUAACCAUGGGAUAUGAUGCAAUUGCCUUAAAAAGUGGCUGGGAUGAAUAUGGUAUUGCUUAUGGCAGGCCCACCGAAAAUGUACACAUUAGAAAGGUGUAUCUUAAAGCAUUUUCCGGCUCUAGUUUAGCAUUUGGCAGUGAAAUGUCGGGUGGUAUUUCAAAUGUUCUUGUGGAGGAUGUUCAUAUUUUCAACUCGAAUAGCGGCAUUGAGUUCAGAACCAUCAAAGGAAGAGGUGGUUAUAUGAAAGAUAUUUUUAUGUCGGACAUACAAAUGGAGAAUGUCGAUACAGCAAUUUCUGCCACAGGCCGUUUCGGCUCUCACCCUGAUGACAAAUUUGAUCCAAAGGCACUACCACUUUUAGAUCACAUUACCUUGAAGGAUGUUACUGGUACAAACAUCACAAUUGCUGGAAGUUUUGCUGGAAUAGAAGAAUCUCCUUUUUCAAAUAUAUGCCUUUCAAACAUAACCUUGUCUACCAAUUCAGUUUCUACUAUUACUUGGGAAUGUUCAAACGUCUCCGGCUUUUCGGAUUCUGUGUCUCCGAAACCCUGUCCAGACCUUGAGAACCCUUCAAAUUCUUCUUCAUCAUGUUUUCCCUACUUGCUGAGUAUCACUGAAAGAAAAACUGCAGUGCUGUGAUUAUCAUUUCUCAAUAGAAGAUUCAAUAUUCUUGAGUACCUUGUUGCUUGAAAAAUCGAACAGCGAAUUGCAAUUGAACAUUAGGUCUCAUUCUUUUCAAUAAGACACUUGUCCUGAUUCUUUUUCAUCACUUAGACUUCAAUUCUUGUAUUUUCCUAUCAGCACAUUAUUUGUACAGGUUUAUUUCUUCAUUCAUGUGUAAGGAAAUUUUGGUUGUGCCACCACAGAACAAAAAAAAUGAAUAGUUUUUUUGCAAUAGUCCAUUGUUAUUUCACUGUAAAGUAUGUAGUAGAUUUGGUUAAUACUUCAAUUGCAGGAAAUUUCAACUUUAUGGCCAUGAAUAUAUCCACAUUUUAUUACUUAAUAGUGAUGUUACCAUUCUUAGUCUUAAAACACUACUCUAGUGUCAAAAAAUGUGCAUAUGAUUGUUCUUUUGUUUUCCACUCUUAUAUAUAUUUCAACAUAGAAAUUUAUGAUAUGGUACUAGGGUGGCCCAACCCUUAACUAGGGGUGGGGUAGGGCUCUUUAUAUUUCCCUGGAUCAGCUCUGUCAUGUAACUUGUAUUCAUAAUUUUGUAGCAAUGUAGGUACUUCCUUUAUAUUUGAAAAAUAUAGGUAGUUCUUUUCACAUAGAAAGAUAUUUUGAUGUUUUCCAUAUAUGUAAGAAUGUCACUGUCAUUAAGUAAAUUAUAUGAAUUUACUAGUAAGUUAAGUAUAUGACAAAAUGUGAAAAAAUCAAAAAUAUUUAUGGGAUGAAUUAAUACGUUACAAGCAUGAAAUGUAACUCCUACACAUUAAAAAAGACUUUGGUUUGAGAAUCAACAAUGAGAGGACUAGUAUUGUGUUAAUGCCCUAUUAUGUAACUGUGGCCAAAACCAUAGUUAGAUGGAUGAUGUUGUAUUAAUGCCCUAUUAUGCCCUGAGGUACUUGGUGACUCAUGGUUUGCAUUAUUCUCAUUAGUUGCUUGUGAUUGUGUUACUUUUGCCUCAGGUUGUGGUGUGUCUUUUGGUGGUGGAGUUUCUGUUGAUGGUGGUGGUUGUGCAUUUCCUUCAGGUUCUUUUGGUUGAGAUCAUGGAGACUCAUCAGGUUGUUCAAUAUUGCAUAUAGUUGUCAUUGUCCUUGUUUUCUUGAUUGCUUUCACAACUUUUUCUGGAUCUGCACACCCAAUUAUGCUUAUUUUUUGUUGGAAAUCAAUAUAGAUAUCAUAUAUGCCUAAAACAAAUAAAGGUUUGUUGUUACCUUAGCUUGCAAUAAUUGUAGAUGACACGAAAUAAUACUUAUUGGCUAAGGCACUUUAAGAUGUUUCGUGACACAUUUUUACUAUACUAUAGAACUGAUCUCGAAUACACCCACCACAAUAUGGCUACUAGUGCCGAUUCUCAAAAUUCUCAUAAUAUAACUGCCCAUGCCAAUUCUUUUCCCUUAAUACUAACUAUCAAUGCGUCGACAGAAAAGAUGAGGGAGAAAAAAAAGUUGAAUGAAAGCACAUUCAACUUGGGGCAAGCUAUAAAAAGGAGAGAAAACCUUUAUUUAUAACAUGUGAUUUUUCUCAAGUUCCUCAUCUAUCAAAUGUGGGACUUGAGAGUUGUUUUUUUUUCAAAAUUUUUCUCCGUGGGAAUUGUGAGUUUUUUAGAUUUUAUACAUAAAAAAUUCACUAAUGGCUUCCAAGAAACCAAAUUCCAACAGUUUAACAAAGAGUUAGUUACAUACAUAUGUUGCCGCAUAUAUAUGAAGUGAUAGGAAAAUCAUAUAACUUGUAACAUGUCACAUUCUUUCUUACCAUUAAUGCCAUUGAGUGCUUUCUUGACCUUCUGCAUGCAUCCAUUACAAUCCAUUCGGACAUGUAUCUCUAUGACUCGAGGUUUCUGCAUUUGAAUGGACUAGUCACUCUUAGAAUUCUUGGCAUUUAUAUUAAAGUUGAUAAAGCUAUGAUUGCAUUCACAUGCUAAUUAUUAUAGUAUAAGUGCAUGAAUUUUGAGUGCUAUACCUGUAAAUCAGGAACCAUGGUGCUGCCUGUGGAAUUAGUUGUACAUGAAAGUAGUAGUAGAAUAUGGCUCUGAAGAAUAUUGUGAGUGGCAUAUAUAUGUGCAAGGGAAGAAGAGAAUAUGUAGAAGGAAAAUAUGUAGGACAUGUUAGAAUCUCUUUUUUAGGGAGGGGAGAAUGGAAAAUAAAAGAGAAAUGGUAUUUGCUUGAUUGGUCCAUGAAUGUCUUUGUUAGGAAUAUUAGGCAUGGGAGAGGAAUGGGUUCAGGAAAGAGGGUAGGCAUAUUUUUUUGUGUGGUACUACCAAGGGUAUCCCCUCAAGUAAGAAACUAAUCUUUUUCGGGUUUUGUGGCUGCCCUUCCCAGUAAAUGUCGCUCUCAGGAAUCGAACUUUCAACCUUGGGAAUUCAGUGCCUUACACCACUAGACCAUCGCCUUGUUGAUAGUAGGUAGGCAUAUAUAUGAGUCUUAAUUUGUAAUCCCAAGUCAAAGGGAAUUUGCUUUAUGAUGUAUAGCAUCUUGGCCAUGUAUUUGUGAGAAUAUGAAAGGUAGGGUGGUGAUAGAACAUCAAAAAGAAGAUGAUGGUUUAAUGCACGAGGCUUCCGGCUAGUAGAAAAGACUUAGGCCGAAGUACCUUGUAUUAUAAAACUGAAGUUGUGCAAAAGAUGUGGCUUAAUUUGUUGAUGACAAAAGUUUCAAUGAUCACUAUAUGCUUUUUCAUGUUGUUCCUAGAAACAUUUCAAAAAUAAAUAAAAUUAAGUUGUUCCUGGAAAAAUCUAUAAUCUCAUUAUCAUGAACUGUAUAAUCUAUAAUGUAAUGUUAAGUUGAAAGUUUAAAGAUGCUAUAAUGUAAUGUGGGAGCUAGCCAUGUGUGAAAAGAUGGCACAAUGUUCAUAUUCAUCAGAUUUUCUCUUAACUUGUUUGAAUAUGUUACCAAAUUAUUCUGAAAUUUAGUAAUCUUUGUGAAGCAAACAAUUCCAUAAUGUUUUUCCUUGAAAAAAAAUCAUCUUUCUCAUGGUGGUUACUGCCUCUAAUAUGUAGAUUCUUUAAUGAAGUUGCUUGAUGCUAAUGGUUUUUGGUUAAGCCAUUCACAUGAUUGGUAGAAUUUGGGUAUUAUAGAAAACUAUUAUGGGACCAUUUUGUGAGAUGAGAUCCUAUAAAAAAAGGUUUUGGGUGGGAAAGAAAACUUUGCAUAAGUAAAGCUUUAUGCAGAAAAUGUCAACAGAAUAUAUGUAUUUAUGGCAUUGUUUAUGCUAUGAUACAAAAGUUAUAUCACCCUCUACCCAAAAAAACUAUAUCAAGUUAUCAACAUGUUUGUAUUUGUUUACUAUUAAAUUUUGGGUUAGGUUUCAUUCAUUUAUUUUAUGUUUGUUGUAGAUGUAAUAAACAAACAUCCUUAGUAUGUUAACAAGACCUGACCAGACAUAAAAGUAGCACACAAAAAAUUAAUUCAUCUAGUGUUUGAUAUAUAUGCUUUGAUUAUGUCUGCAUGCUAUGUUAUUUGGUGAUUAGUUAUGGUGCCUAAUCUCUAUGCCUCUCUCAUAGACACAUAAUUAGAAUCAUCAUUAUUUCAACCAAAUAUGAACAUAAUAGAAGAAUUCUUCUAAAUAAAGUUAGGAGAGUGGGCCAAGACUAUCAUCGGACAAAGAUUACCUGUCUUAAAUGGUAUCUCGGACUAAUUAGAUAUUGCCACAUAAAUAAAAUAAUUUGAUUUAAAAUAAAAAGUAACAAAAAAUAACAUUCUGAUUGGCUUGGAAUACCAUUUAGAUAUUGUUUAGGACAUGUGAUCUCUAUCCUCACUCUACUUUUUGGUUGAAAAAGUUGUGCACUUCUGUAAAGGGCAAUAAGUGACAAGUUCUGAACUUUAUCAUGAGGAAUAUACAAGGUGGAUUUGCAUGCUUUGUGUUAUCAUGUUUUUGUCUGAAUACUAUGCAAGGUAUCUAAAAUACAAAAUGAAAAUGAAAAACUCAAAUGUAGACAAAUUUAUCUUUGGUGGCCUCCACAAAUUCCAGCUGUGAAGCAGAAGAAAAUAAUAUUAAUUAUGAACUAUAACCCUCUUCAUGUAUAUUGAGAAAAUUUGACUUUCUUGGUUACUCUGAAUUUAUCAUAGAUGGUUAAACAUUCUUGAUAUCAAACUUUGGCACUUUUUUGGUACAAUAGAAAAAAUUUUGGCCCUUUGGUAUGCAUUUACUGAAAAACAAAAAAUAAAUAAAGGUUUGCUAUUUUACUUUAAUAAUAGCUCGAAGGAAGAAGAUCUUUUGCUUCUCAAAUUUUCAAUUCACUUUAAUGUCUGGAUGCAUAUUUAAUAAAUUUGCUAUAGAAACAUUUAAGCCUCAUAUUGCAAUUUUUGGUAUUAUUAAGGGUAUUCCUUUACUUUUUGGGUAAGGAACUAAUUUAUUUUAGGGUUUGUAGCUAUCCCUUCUAACAAAUAUUGCUCAUAUGAAUCAAACUCUCGAUUUUAGGAUCUAAUAAAACCUUACACCACUAGAUCAACACGUUGUUGUUCUUGCAAUUUGUAACAAAGGCCUGUCACCUUUACUAUUUGCAAUCAACACCAAAAAAUAGUGUGUAUAGCAGACAAAAAAUAGGAAGGUCCACUCCUCUAGUGGGGUUGGACCAUAAAAUGGUUCCAAGACCACACUGAAGUACUGAACCAUAUAACCUCAGACUUCAUAAGUUUUAAUGGUUGAAGCUUAUAGUACACAACUUUGAUUACUUGUAUAAGAAAAUUUCUGACCUUAUGGAACAUUAUUUAUUUUUUAUUUUUCCCAUGCUUUUAGACAUAACCUAUGGUUUAUCACUCUAUAGCAUCUAAAAUGUAUCCAAGUUUGUCAAUAAAAUUGAAAAGCUGUGUCUUAAUUCAUAAUUUUGACUACCUCAACAUAAAAUUAGCAAACAACUCACACAUACAUAUAAGUUUUACUACUAGCCAUAUCAUAUUUGGCUUCAAAUCAAACUAUAGGCUAAACUGAAAGUACAUAAUGAUAUAAUAUGAUAAUAGGGUGCAUCAUAAGAUACCUUGAGGAUAGUUGAGGCUUCUUCUCUAGCAUUCUUGAAAUCUUCUUCUUUGAUCUCAACUCCUUCUUUGGGAUGAUACUUACUAACAUUCUUGGUCUUGCUACCUCCCUCUGCAUUAGGCUCAAACUUUAUCUCAUGUGAAAUUGAAUCUACCUUUUCCAAUACACUAUCCCCUUCAAUUACUGUGUAGCUAUAUGCCAAAUUCUCUUUGUCUAUUGCAUCAAUUCUAUGCUUCAAGUGUUUUAUGUUAUCACCUGCAACAUUGAAGAGAAAGCCAAUAAUUAAUUCCUGCUAAUUAUCUCACUAGAAUCUAGAGUAAGAGUGACUAGUAGGGCUCGCAAUGAACCAAACCAAUUCGGUAUUCGUCGAAACUUGACUCGUUGUUUAGCUCUAUAAACUUGGUUCAUUAAUUAAAUGAGUCUAACUUGAGCUAGAAAUUGAGCUCGUUAAAUAAACGAGCCGAACUUGAGCUAGAUAGAUAUAGUUUGACUCGUUAAGUUCAUAAGCUAGUUCUAUAUAUAUAUAAACUAUUUCUUUAUGUUUAUUGUUAUUAUACUAUAACUCAUGCAUUAUCUUAUUAUAUUUAUUGUCAUUAUAUAUAUAUGUAUGUAUAUAAACACAUUUAUAUUUGUAUAAUAUAAUAUUUUGGAGUAUUUUUAAAAAAAUGAAUUAAUUAUUUGAGUUGUCCAAAUGAAUCAAUUUAUACUAACCUGAACAGUUCGUGAACUUUAACCGAGCCGAAAUCGAGUUAAAAAUUAAAAUAAUUCAUAUCGAACUCGAGUCGAGUUUUGAGUUGAACAAAUCCUUAUCGAACUGAACUGAGCUGAGCUCUUAUUCGACUCGAUUCGGCUCGUAUUCAGCACUAGUGAGCCUUAGAGGUAUGUCCAUAAAUAUAAAAUUUGAAAAAAAGUGAUAAGUAAUGUGAAAUGAUGCAACUAACUAGCCUUCAGCAAUGGUUAUCUCUUGAAUGGUUCCAGGUCCUCCAUUGCCUUCAACCACUUCAACUUUCUUUAUAGCCUGAGGAAGAAGCUUAGGGAUGAGGUUAUGAGCAUCAAGGAUCAAAGCCUUAAACAAUCUCCUUGUUUGGACAAUGCUAGUGGACUCAUCACUGAAUGUUAGGACAACCAUGUUUCUUAAGAACUACAAGAUAUAGCUACAAAUUUGAAGUAAUGUAAUAUUAUAAGGAAUAUAUGUAGUGGUGUGACAUAAUAUAUGUGGUUGUAUUUAUAGAUCUAAAGUAUAAGUUAUUGAUGCUGCAUUUGACAUUAUUUCUUCAACUACUAGAUUGCCAAAAAAAGGUGCUUGUCCCAUUAUUAUACAGCAAGGUAGGUAUAGUCCUCCCAUGCAGAUAGAUUUUUAAAGUAGACACAUUAUACCAUAUAUUAUGUUCAAAAUAUUCAAGUUGUUAUUUAUAUGUAUAUGAAAACAAUGAUAUAUUGAGGUAUUGAAUCUCAUGGGCUCAGUGUACAAUGAUUAAUAAUUUCUGUUGCAAGAAAAGUAAUUGAAGCUAGUGCCCGAAAAAUAAACUUGUGUGCCAAAGGGGCUUAAAAGUCGUCCUAUUGAAUAGCCAACAUUUAUGGUUGUGGUAUUUAUUUAUCGACUCUAUAGAUUACAAAUAAUUCAUAUCCUCACCUAAACAUUGAACGUAGAACUUUUUAGCUCAUUUCUUCAUUUAUUUUAUGUUGACAUAUUUCAUGUAAUUUGCAGACUUAAUUUCUACUCUUCCAUUUCUUCUUCUAUGUCUUAGGACUUAAGCACAUGUUGAGACUCAGCCCAAAAAAAUUAGUCUACUAAAUGGAAGAGUCUUAUGAGUUAAAUAUCAUCAGUUUAUUAUUUUACUCCAUGUGAGAUUUCUAACAUUGUCACCCCUUUAAGGGUCGACGUCCACAAUGACUUUUACUCUAUCGUCAUUGAUCUAAGCCCACAAUGACUUUUACUCUAUUGUCAUUGAUAUGAUGGUAGUCUUUCCUCUUUUGGCGGUUUCACUCACUAUCAAUAUUCACUAAUAUACCUUAAUCCAACUUAUAUGCAUGUAUUUCCCUAACACAACUCUCAAUGAAAGCCACCAUUUGUUUGGACUUAAGCACAUGGGAUCCAACUAUAUUAGGCAAGAGAUUCUUAUGACUUAAGUACCACAUUGAAUUUGUUAUUUUACUCAACGUAAAACUCCUAAUAUUGUUCCAAUACCCUCGAGUUGAAUGAUAAUUAAGUAAAGCUAAUAUUUACAUUCAAAAUUUUAAUCCCACAUGUAAAUUUAGUUUGGAAUACAAUUGAUUUCCAUUAUCCUGGUUUGCAAAUUUCCAUUUCAAUGAUAAUAUAAUAUUACAAAACUUGGUGUAUUUUUGUCCACCAAAACCAAGGUCAAACCGUUUCUUAUUAUAUGUAUUUGAAAAAAGACAACAAAAGAAAAAAAGAAAAAACGCGGCAAAUUUUUAUUUCAGUCUUCACCGGAAAUCAGAAACAGUAAAGCUACUAGGGUUGAAGAACAAGAAACCGCGCCGUUCGCCGCCGUCGACCACGCAGGCGCCGCCAUCUUCCACCUCCUUCUUCGCAAGUUUCAUAUCGUAGCUGCAAUCUCCUCCGUUAAUCGUCGUCGAUCAGCAACUCAUCAUACCCAUCUUCUGUAAGUCAUUCACUCAUCAAAAUUGAAUCUUAUUUCAUUUUUACCUUCAUUACUCGAUAUAGAAACUUGGGUAUAGUUACAAUUGGUUUUUAAUUUUAUUAUGCGAAUUUCCAUUUAGUGUUAGGGUAGAAAGAAAGAGCUUUGAAACUGAAAUCAUAUCAAUAUCCAAAUUACUCAGCUCUGAAGAGAAACCCAUGUUUUUAAAUUGAAGAUAAAGCUAAAAAGGUUUCAACUUUCCAUUUGAUUACUGUAGCGUGCUUUCUUGAAAAGUUUUGAUUUUUUUCAUUUUCUUUUGAUUUUACAUUCUUAUAAUUUCCUUGCAGGAUGGCAAGUUCUUCUAUGGAUUUCUCUCAGUUUGGAAUUUCAAUGGAGGUGCAUUCCUUUAUUUAUAAAAAAAGAAUGGUUUCUAAGUGUUUUGGAUAGUGUUAAUUAUGUAAAAAUGAUAAUUUGACUUGUCCUAAGUGUUAUGAGAAAGUGUAUAUAUGAAGAGGUUUUUUUUUAUAUACAGGAAAAGGAUAAGCUUGUUGAAGAAAUAAUCCGCUAUAUGCUUUUUAAGACUCAUGGACACUCAGGCUGUCCGAUUAAGAGGGACGAACUCACUCAUCUAGUUACAAAAAACUAUAAACAGCGUAACCUUCCUACCUUUGUGAUCAACGAGGCUAAAGAGAAGCUUUCCAGUAUAUUCGGCUAUGAAAUGAGAGAGCUUCAAAGGUCCCUCCCAUCUUCCAAAACACAGGCAUUGCCUUCUCAACAAAGUGAGCAUGAUUCGGUUAUUCUCUUCUCAUGUUACUUUACCUGGCAAGGCGGAGCACUUCUAGUAAUAUUUGUUUAAGAGACUCCGAUCGUUUUCUUUUGUGAAAUUUUAAGGACAACUUGAGCAUGGGUUUAUAUGCAGAGAAGGAUUGAACUAUAAUGUGGGAUGCAUUGCUCAUUCAGUUGUAUGACUAGUGUAUCUUUUUACUCCGGGAUGUGAUUUGAUGCGUGCUAAUUUCUCCUGGUUGUUAUGAGUCAUAUAGAUGUUGUGAAUUUAGAUUUUCAUUAAAUUUGGUGUAUUGUUUUUUUCUUCACAAUCAGCUACUGCCUUCAUGAGUCAUAAGCAUAUACUUCUCUGCUUAUAUUCUGCAACCCGACUGAAUACAUUUAUAUCAUCCUACACUGGUAUCUUCAAUUAGUUAGUUAUGGACAACCAAGACACUUUUUGACUUUAUCUUGUUGCUUUUGCUCAUAUAAAGAUUCAUUUGAUGAAUUGUGUCCUUGUAAUACGUUAACCUUGCAAUCGAUAGAGAUUAGAUUAUGCUCGGUUUUCAAUUAGCAUUGUUUCUAAGUCAUUAAAUAUGUUGUGCAUAUACACAUAGUGGGAAUAAGUAAGUUGAUACUAAAAGGGUGGCCCGGUGCAUGAGACUCCCACCUACUGGGAUUUGGGGAAGGUAGAUGUACGCAACCUUACCCUAGCAAGCAAGAGGCUCUUUCCCAUAUUUGAAUCCAUGACCUCUAGGUCACAAGGCAACCAACCUUAUUGUGAGCCGAGGCUCAAUCUCUAAUAAGUAAAUUGAUACUAAACUACUAAAUUGCUUUUACUUGUUCAGAUUUGUCUGCAUUCUCCGGAGUUCUCUAACUAUGUCCUAGUUGUUAGCCUCUACAUUUUCCUCUAAUUAUUUUUUGUAUGAUGUGCUUUCUCCCAGGUGUUGCAGAUGCAAAAUCAUAUGUUCUCAUAAGUCAACUUCCUUCUGAUGUAUAUGAAAAAUAUGUUGUAGAUGUGAAUACUGCACACCUGUCUGGAUUCACUUUUGCUGUGGUUAGUGUUGUGUAUCUUGCUGGUGGCAAAAUGCCAGAAGGUAUGAUUGCAAAUUUUGUGUCAUGACUCGUAAAGCUAAAAUUCUAUAUGCAUGGAUAUGCACCUGCUAAACUUAUGCAAGUCAACGGGGAUAUGUUAAGGUCCAUAGAUAAAAAGGGUGGCCCCGUGCACGAGGCUCCCACAUAGUGGAGUUUAGGAAGGGUAGAUGUAUGCAGUGACCUUACCGUGGCGUGAGGUCCAUAUAUAGAUGCAAUAAAUCAUAUAUUCUGGCUUUUACAGUUUUGCUUUGCCGAGGUUUAAAAUUUUAAUGGCAAUUCUCCUUCUGCCUUAACAUAAUGGAACUUUGGUGAGAUUAUUGUAGAAAGUCUCUGGAGCCAAUUAAAGAAGAUGGGUUUAAGUGCUGAUGAUAAAAACCAUACUGUUCUUGGAAACAUUCAACAGGCAUUAGAACUUCUUGUUCAGCAAAGGUGAGAAAUUUUUAAUGUUUAUGAUUUUAGAUUACAAGGGUUAUUGCAUUUUGUGGCACCUCUAAUUUGCACUAAAAGGCAGUGAAGUAAUUUUGAUCCAUCUUUUGAUUUAUAGGUACUUACAGAAGAACAAAGUUAGUGGUCCUGAAGGCAAUAAUAUAUAUUAUGAGCUUGCUGAGAGAGCUUUAGAUGGACCCAUCAGUGACAAGAUCAAGGAAUAUACAUCUCAGGUAGUGCUUUAGUUCUGCCUUUAUUUAUUCAUUUUUUAAGUUCAUUUAACAAUUCAAUAUUAAGCAAUUAAAUAUCUUAUCCUUAUGAACUUAUUUUGGGGUAGCACUUUUUUUUUGUCUAUGGCUGGCAUGCCUUUAUAACAAGUGCAUACUCCAAGGAUUUAACUUGGUUCUUUUUCGGGGGAGCUUUAGAGAUAAAUGCUUUGUCAAAGAACAUGAUAUUUUAUAGAACAUUAUGAUCUUGUUCGAUCCGUGUAACCAACCCUACCUAGUAAGAUUAAGACUUGGUUGCUAUUGUUGUUGAUACUAAACAUAGUGUAGUCACAUUGGAAAAACAGCUAAUGCAAACAAAACACAAUAUUUGGAUGAUUCUUCUGAUGUGUUUUACUAGGAGAAGUUUUAAAGGAUUUGUUAAGUGUAGACUAUCUCUGACAAAACACUACAGUGGUAACCUAUAGAUGAACUUGAAACAAAUGAUAACUCAAAUAUGUUAGAUUUAUUUAAGCAAACUAAGGAAAAAUGCAAGUGUUUCAAAAUGGUGUAGGGAUUACUGUCUAUAGUACCCAUUUAUCUUCAAUCUUCUCCAAAAAGCAUGUUAUCUUUGUUGGUUUCAAAUACAAUUAACACUAAACAUUUUCAUUACAGAUUGUGAGAGACAAUAUCUCAACGGCUGCAGCAUAAAAGUUUUUGCUAGCUCUUCAGUGUCUCAUGGGACUAUGGUUUGAUUUUUGUAUAAUGAUUUCUACACCAAAGGAUUAAAAUGGGAAAAUCUUGUAUUGGGUAAGUGAUGUAUGGAUAUAUUUGUUUAUAUGUGCUGAUAUGUAAAUUAUUUUUAAAUAUAAAGUAAACGUAUGAAACUUACUUUGAUUAUAUACUAUUUAUUAACAUUAUCAUAUUAUAACUUUUUAGCUACUCCCAAGUGAAAUGAAGAUUUCUGGAUACUCCAUGUGGCCAUGUUUCUAUAAUAAAUUAAUUCUGAAUGUUUCUGGUGGAGCACGUAUUAUUUCUUGGAGGGUACGUAAGAAAUGAAUGAAGAUAGAUUAUAUAUAAUACUUUUAUUAUGAUUAUCCUGUUAUCAUAUUUUUACAACUUUUAUGAUUUAAUUAUUAUUAAUUUCACUUUUAUGUUGACACAUAUACUUCUGACUACCUACGAAUGUUGGUUCAAGUGGUACAUGCUUAAUUUCCCUUAAGCAAGGUCUCGGAUUCGAGUCUUGUGGAUGGAAAAAAUAUCCGUUGGGAGAGUUAGCCUCACAUACAUGUGGAUGUUCAUGGCUUGGACAAGAUUGUGUGAGGAUACAUGUGGGAAACCAAAAAAUAUGGUAUAUAGUCUUAUUAAAUAGGAUAAAUGAUAACUUUGAUUAUAUGUUGUUUCUAAAAAUUAUUACUAUUGGUUGAAAAUCAACUUCGAACAAAGCUUAGAAUUUGGUUAGAAGCCAAAUGAUUCAUGUCUUUACAAAGUCACUGCUACCCAAAAAAUAUGUUCCAACCAUAAUUUGAGUCCUUUCUGAAUUGGAAGUUAUUAUAACACUUGGAAGUGAUCAAUUAAUUUGAGUCUUGAGAGAUCAAAGUAUAAGAUUAAUGAUAUAUCAUCUUGUAUAUGAAUCAUUCAAAGCAUAAUGUUGCUUGACCCAAAACAAAAAGGUAGAAAAAUAUACAAACACAAAUCUUAUUCAUUAUUUAUUGCAUAAUACAAGUGUUGCAAAAACAUAAACACCAGAUCAAACAUACAAGGCAAUUCAACUGAGCCACAUGUAUAUAUACAAGGGCUCUUGUUACAAAAACCAAACAACCACAUACAAAAACUUACUAUGAUAAUUAUUUGCAUGGAUCAACCAAAAGUAGUAGUGUUUUUGCGAGAAUCACAUCAAGCUCGGGUCCUGGAAAGUUAUAAGUGUAAGUACAUCAAGUUUGGAAUAAUAGAUAGCAAUAUUUUUAAAACAAACACACAUAUUGGGUACUGCUGGAACUCGAAAGUUUAGAUCAUGCUUGGGGCACUAGUAAUCAGGAUGUGCCAAAACAUAACCCUCAACAGCCUUAAAAAGUCCAAUUCCCUUGAAUUUUGAUUCAUCACGCACAGUUUCUGAUAACACAUCACCUUUGGUAUGAAAUUUCACAUUAAUCUUACCAAUGGAUCCACCAUGAGGGCCAGGUAAAAUCUUACUCUCAAAUGUGAUUUUCUCCAAACUUUCAUCCAACCCUGCACCUCCAAUUAUGCUGUAGUCAUAUGACAAGUUAGCUUCAUCUAUUGCAUCAACUUUGUGCAGCACGAAGCUAGUGUGACCAUCUGCAUAAUUUCCACCACAAAUUCUAUUUAGACAUACACAUGGAGCUAACUAUUUCAUUACCCAUAAAAAUGUAUGCACCGUUGGGAGAGUUAGCCUCACAUACAUGUGGAUGUUCAUGGCUUGGACAAGAUUGUGUGAGGAUACAUGUGGGAAACCAAAAAAUAUGGUAUAUAGUCUUAUUAAAUAGGAUAAAUGAUAACUUUGAUUAUAUGUUGUUUCUAAAAAUUAUUACUAUUGGUUGAAAAUCAACUUCGAACAAAGCUUAGAAUUUGGUUAGAAGCCAAAUGAUUCAUGUCUUUACAAAGUCACUGCUACCCAAAAAAUAUGUUCCAACCAUAAUUUGAGUCCUUUCUGAAUUGGAAGUUAUUAUAACACUUGGAAGUGAUCAAUUAAUUUGAGUCUUGAGAGAUCAAAGUAUAAGAUUAAUGAUAUAUCAUCUUGUAUAUGAAUCAUUCAAAGCAUAAUGUUGCUUGACCCAAAACAAAAAGGUAGAAAAAUAUACAAACACAAAUCUUAUUCAUUAUUUAUUGCAUAAUACAAGUGUUGCAAAAACAUAAACACCAGAUCAAACAUACAAGGCAAUUCAACUGAGCCACAUGUAUAUAUACAAGGGCUCUUGUUACAAAAACCAAACAACCACAUACAAAAACUUACUAUGAUAAUUAUUUGCAUGGAUCAACCAAAAGUAGUAGUGUUUUUGCGAGAAUCACAUCAAGCUCGGGUCCUGGAAAGUUAUAAGUGUAAGUACAUCAAGUUUGGAAUAAUAGAUAGCAAUAUUUUUAAAACAAACACACAUAUUGGGUACUGCUGGAACUCGAAAGUUUAGAUCAUGCUUGGGGCACUAGUAAUCAGGAUGUGCCAAAACAUAACCCUCAACAGCCUUAAAAAGUCCAAUUCCCUUGAAUUUUGAUUCAUCACGCACAGUUUCUGAUAACACAUCACCUUUGGUAUGAAAUUUCACAUUAAUCUUACCAAUGGAUCCACCAUGAGGGCCAGGUAAAAUCUUACUCUCAAAUGUGAUUUUCUCCAAACUUUCAUCCAACCCUGCACCUCCAAUUAUGCUGUAGUCAUAUGACAAGUUAGCUUCAUCUAUUGCAUCAACUUUGUGCAGC
This 61368-nucleotide long non-coding RNA is filed under the name Lupinus angustifolius (narrow-leaved blue lupine). Its description in RNAcentral is "long non-coding RNA (LANG_LNC002378)". Lineage: Eukaryota; Viridiplantae; Streptophyta; Magnoliopsida; Fabales; Fabaceae. The record is from RNAcentral.